This 60581-nucleotide long non-coding RNA is filed under the name Nicotiana benthamiana. RNAcentral describes it as "long non-coding RNA (NBEN_LNC009579)". The record is from RNAcentral. Lineage: Eukaryota; Viridiplantae; Streptophyta; Magnoliopsida; Solanales; Solanaceae.
GAUUCAACGGGUAGGACAUGAAUGAAGGCACUUUCAUAUGGAUCCUCCAAAAAGACAAAACAUGCUGGAAAUUACCAGAGCCAAUGACCAAAGCAUGCCAUAUCUCGUACUCCACUUUAGACCAUGUAAAAUAGUUCAAACAUGCAACCAACUUGACGGACUGCACAAACCUGUAUACUUGCUAGGUGCUGCCUAUGUUCAGCAAGUGUUGCAGCCAAGGAUUCCGUGUGACUGCUUGUACCGCCAUCAUGUGAACUUCUCAGAAGCUCUGGACCCUCUCCAUCAUUUACUUUUGCCUGAAUGAAAUUAUUGUAUUAGGAAGAAAAGGAAAAAGUGAGGAGAACAUACUUUUAACCUAAUUAUUCACAAAAGAAUAGAUAGGUUCCAGUAUUAUACUUCACCACAUAUGUGAAAGCUUCAAAUGAACACGGAACUCUGGAAGUUUUUCCUUAAGACGUCACUAGAUAAAGAUGCUACAGAUUAAUUUCUCUUAAGCUCAAAACAUAAGCAGAUACAAUACUCUAUCACAUGCUAAGACUGAUUUUAUACACAUUCCUUGACUGUAGAGUAAGCUCUGACAUCAUAGUUAGACUCUAAGAAGUUAAUUCCCCUUUUGGACCAUUAGAAACCCAGAACACCACAUAAUAAGAAACAUCACAAACAUAGAGAAAAAAGAAUGACAAAUUCCAUCAAAGUAGUUAAAACUUAGAGUUUAUUGGGGUCAAAAGCGCUCCUCAAAGACCUAAAAUCCUGAACCAACAUAGAAGAUAGCGUACUAAUUGAAGUGACUGCUUAUGAAUUCGUUGCAGAGCAUGUGUCCAACGCCUCAAAACUUCAGCUAUAUCAAUAGUUGGAUGGGCUCUUGCAUUCCUUUCAUCAACUCGAGAAAAACUCUCAUCAUUUGUUUGAGUAUGAGAAGAAUCUGGAUUGUUCACAUGCUUUUCUCUAUCAAAAUCUGCUUGUGAUCUUUCAGAUUGAUCUUUAUUAUCUAGAUGUGAUGGAACUAAAUCACGAGGUGGAGCUACAGAACUUUGAUCCAUAGCUGCAAGCAAAGCUGACCCAGAUAUACGAUACCUGAACAAGAAUAUUUAAAAAACAAUAUGAAGGUAAGUCCAGCUUCUGAAACCCAAGAUCAUACGGAAAGUGACUUUACCUAUGCUCACGAUGAGCUAUAAGAUCCUCUAUUGGGCCAGAAGAGAGAAUCUGGUGCUGAGCUGCACAACAUAUGCACAUAAGUAAUAUGAUUUAGAAGAAGUUAAAACUGAUCUGGGACGACUUUAAUAUCUAAUUGUCACAUUAAUUGCAAUAUCAAAUGUCUAGCAUUUUGUGCCAAGGGAAGGAUAGCUAGUGGAAAGGAUCCUCCACCUCCAACCCUGAGGUUGUGGGUUCAAUCACCAAGAAAGCGAAGAGGAAAUGGCCAUUGUUGACUCCCAGGCAGGGUAAUGGCAUUGCCAUAUGAAAAACAAACUAUGGAGUAUAUAGCAUUUUGUAGAACACAUACUAAUAGAGACUUUAUGGAUUUUACUGAUGAUAGACAGCUUAAGAUAACCAUCAACAGUUUGUACUCACUUUGGCGGGAUAGCAAAGAGUCCCACAAGCGAGUAGCUCUUUGGACCAUAUGCGAGUUUUGACUCGAGCUUGAUACAAGUUCAUCCCACAGUUCACCUUCCAACUUUACUUUGUUUCUAACAUCAUGCAGUUUUUCAAGUUCUUGCUGCAAAUAAGCCUGAGACCGAGGGGAUGAAAGAUGUUUUUCGGAAAGAGUUACUCACCAGCCACCGCUGUGAAUAUAAGAAUAUAAAUCAACUCUAAAGUUCUCAGAGAAUAAGAUUCUUAUCUUACCUCUUCAGCACAAAGGCCUCGAAACUCAGCUGUCAUCUCAUGAGCCAAAUUAGACCAUGUGGCCUGUCUUUGAACAGCUGUUUCUGCAUUUUCAGAAACCUUCUUCUUUCAUGAGCAAUCCUAGCCUACACGGGACAACAAGGACAAAUUGGAUCUGCAAACUUGCAAUAUUAAGCUGUUUCUGCAUUUUUCAGAAACCUUCUUCUUUCAAGAGCAAUCCUAGCCUACACAGACAACAAGGACACAAUUAGAUUUGCAAAUUCCAGAUACAUAUUAGCUUAACGAUUAGCUAGGUAAAAUCAUUAUAGCCCCACUCAAUACAUUAUUCCGGAGUAUUGAAAAAGGAGAAACCAUUACUCCAAGGUAUAUUAUUAGGAUUAGUAACAGGAAAAAGCUUCAUACAAAAAGAAAACUAAGCCCUCAAAAGUGAAUAAUUAAGAGGAUUCAUGCAUUGCUUCUUUGAAAUGGCAUAAAUUGAACCCUGGUCUUCAGAUAUAACUACCCAACAGAUGCAUUGAAUCAUUAGAGAUCAAGAACCCAGCAACUCAGGAAGUAAACAAACAGUGAGAUGAUUUUCAAAGUCCCUUGUUAAACGAAUGGACAUAAAGCCAGAGGAGGAUGACCUUGGUUACAGGAAGUAAGGUGGCUGCAUGUGAGAAAGCUACAUCUGUCAAUGAAGCAGGUAACGGGUUAGAAGCUACAUCAGCAGCAAAUGUUCGCCUAUGAACUUCCCUCAAGGCAUGCAGUGAGAGUUGCCACAGAAGUUCAACAAAUCUGCAGUGCAUGUGAAGCAAUUAUGAACACUAAGUACAUCAAAUGCUAUCAUGUGUGCUUUUACACGUGAGUGUUUCUUUUUUCAAUAAACGCUGGAAGCGGAGGAUCGAACCUGCGCAUACUCAUGUGAGUAUGCACUUAUAGAACAAAAUGCAAAGUGAAACUACUGAGACACAGGUAGAUAAUAAGAAUAACAAGCAGCCAGUGUUAGACCUGCCAAUUGCAAGGCCAAUUUAUUCCUAUGUCAAAAGAUCAUGAAAUUAGAUGAUUAAAUAACAGCGCUUAUAAAACUCACUCGUUUAUUCGUAAAUUUACUUUUUUAUAUAACGGAGAAAUCCGGAGGGCUAGCUGGCGUACGGUUCAAAACCUGGUAAAUGAUGGAUCCACCCUUCUAUUCUUUUCCACUUACCACGAUUUUAUCUGCAACAAGGUUCAAACUCAUGAUGUGUGUCUAACCCACACAUCACGCAUUGCGCAAUUACCACUGGACCAAAGCCUAGGGUCAGUUUCAAAAUUAACUCAGUCAGGUUGUCUGCUGAAAUCACAGAAAUAACCUCUAAGUUGUACAUUUUCAAAAGGCGUGCUUACUUAGGAGUUAUGUCCCUCCCUGACGCUGCAAUCUAAGUAUUUUCCACUGAUAACCUACUCCUUGACUAUUCCUGCCCAAAAAUAUUAGGCAAUAUGUAAUCUUCUGUGUGAUUAGUCAAAGAAACCUAAUAGUUGAACCAUAGGAUCAAAAGUCCGUACAAACAAAGCCACUUCCCCAACCCUAGUGCAUGUGCUGAUGCGAAACUUCUUGCACAAACACCUUUCACCAAGUCCUAAGCCCUUUGCAGUGGCAAUAAGGUGACCAGCCAAAUAGUCUUGGAUAAAACCAAGCAAGAGAUAACUUGAUUUCACCCACUUUCAAGCAGCGACACCAAAUGAGGGAACAAGACAACUGUAGCCGCAGCAAUCCGUCCCCAAGGAUUUUGUCCUGACUUAGAGGAGUUUAGAUGGUAAGACUUAUCUUGAUAUCAGUGAACAAGACAACUUUAACCGCAGCAAUCCGACUCCAAGGAUUUUGUCCUGACUUAGAGGAGUUUAGAUGUAAGACCUAUCUUGAUAUACAUUCAGCUUCAUAUUUGAAUAUGGUAGCUGUUUCAAUUGGGUGCUAAGUGACUGAAGUGUAGAAUGUGGUGCCAAACUACACCGCUUAAAUGUAACCUGACUUUGAAUGCCGAAAGACAUUGAAGUUGCAAUCUUGAGGGUGAGUAAUUACUCCAAAAUCGAUUAGGUAGUGAAAUCAAAAUUAGUCUCCAAAAGAAUAAUCUUAAGUUUGCUGAUGGCAACGGGUGCUAUAACAGUUAUGUGAGAAAGAUACUUCAAUAUGUAAUCAAAUGGUCCAAAUGAUAGUUCAAAAUAAAAAUAACCAAAAUGCUAUCACAUAGAAACCAGAAAAAAAAAAUAUUAGUGACCUUCAAGUACCAACCUCGGUCCACAACACGUCGCAAGAGAUGAGACCCUCGAAUUGCUUCUAGGAAGUGCCCCCUGGGAUUCCAACUCGGUUAUAAUUCCUUGCACAACCUACAUUUCCGCAAAUAAAAAGAAAAUGAAGUAAAUUAGCCACAAAGAAAAAAGUCAAACUCAAUUCACGAAUCACAUCUCUUUAGAAAUAAAGCAUAUUUCAAUCAACUUAAGUUAACUUGGUCAGACUAUGCUUCCAUUCAGAAUAUACUUAUCCCUUAGCUCUAUUCUGCAUGUCCCAUAAAAUAAUUUACUCCCUCUGUCUCAUUUUAUGUGACACCAAAAAAAAUGAUAUCUUUCUAUAUUUAGAAAUAAUUAAACUUUACACUUCUCAUUUUAUCCAUAUAUGAGAUGAUUUAUAGUGAUACAAAUGAAUAUAGCAAGUUUAGAGCACAAGUUUAAAAGGUCUUUCUUGUUUUCUUAAAUUCCGCUCCGAGCAAGCACAUAAAUUGGGACAUAGGGAGUAAGUAUCUUUUAAGAAAAAGCUAAAACAUAAUUACCUUUCGAAAAUCACGAGAUUGAGCUGAAUCAAAUAUAGGCCAGACCUUAUCGAAAUCCUGAAAGAUCAAAAGGAAACAAAAAUGAGCAUCAAAUAUAAAUCCAUAAGCCUAUAUAAGCUCAAAAGUUCAUUCAGAGUACCUUGGCGGAUUGAGCAGGGCCUCUAAGAGAAGAAAGUAAGAAGUAAAGAAGCUGUUCUCCCAAUUUAGGGUUUGAAUGACGAAAAAGUCCAACACGAGGAGUGCCAUUGUUAGCUCCUAUUCCGAUGAUGGAUGGAUCCAGACCUAGUAACAAACAGUUAGUGUACAUUGCACUCUCUAACUCUAUCUCCCUCUCCUUCUCUCUGUCCAUCGUCAUUCCACACCUUCACUCUUUAUUCCGAUGAUGUAUGGAUCCAGACCUAGUAACAAACAGUUAGUGUACAUUGCACUCUCUAACUCUAUCUCCCUCUCCUUCUCUCUGUCCAUCGUCAUUCCACUCCACCGGUAACUGGUUGGUUUUCCGAUUUGAUUAGUGUUUUGUAAUUAUGAAAACAACAAGUCCUUCUGGAUAAAUUAAGAAUGGUCUGGUUGUUAGAUCAACUAGGACUUGAGAGAGUUUGAUCUGAACAAAUUCGGGGUGCAUUUCUGAAUUUUCAGGUUGUUAUGUCGUAGUGAGGUCGGGAGGGAUAAAAGAAAAGUUUGAAGUUUGAAAUGCGUGGGAGGGGUGUUUUUUAACGUGAACUGCUCAGUCAAUGAGAUGAUUAACGCUUUACCGGCCGGCUUGGUAUUGUCAACUCCUGUUGCUUCGCGGAUUUUGGCUUUGCCUUUUGUUUGCUUGUCUACAUCAUGGAAUUUGUUUAGGCCCCACUUUAGUUACCUUCGAAGACAAAUCCUCACAAUGUAGUUUCUCCAAUGAAAAUGUAAGGUCACAUAUUGUCUCGUCUCUAAUAAGUGACACUUCACUUUCCAAAUAAUAUUUGCGACAUGGUUAUCUAUCCCCUUAUUCGAUGUUGUUUGGUUGUUUAAUGAAAACGAUUUGGGGUUGUUGGUUUAAAAACAUUUACGCGUGAGUCGUAUAAAUUAGUAAUAGUCAUUAGGCGUUUGGACAUAAAUUUUAAAAUUUGUUUCUAAAUUCAGAAUUUCACCGAAAUUUGAAUUAAAGAUAAAGUUGUGUUUAGUUAUUAUUUCUAUAAUAUAUUUGGUUGUUUCUUUUUUAAAUUAUGAAACAUGAUUUAGACCUCAUAAUUUGUAAAUAAUAUCAAAAUCACCUCGACUUAAUUAUCUUAAUUGAAAUAAACAAUCACACAUACUUAAUAUUUAAUUGUUAUCAUUUUUUUUAAAUAAUCAUGUAUAAAAAUACUAGUAAAAGAUGGUCCGUGUUGCGCCCUAGUCCAAAUGUUGGGUUGCAUAUUAUGGACUUUUAACAUGGAUGCCGAUGAUUUUUUCCUCAACCAAUCGAUGAUAUGUUAAUAUUGAAUUUUAUUUUAUUAUAUGAUAAUCUCAAUAUUUGGUUAAGAGCUUUCAAAAAGAUGGAUACUAGUCGACCAACGUUAAUCGGUAAAUUGUUACGUUAUCUAUUUAAUAGUUAUCGUUAAAGUUUUAAUCAUCCAGCUAUAUGUUGUCGGCAAUUUAUCCAGUCUUAAUAAUUGAAAUUCUUUAAAUUGUUGAAUGUGACUAAUAUACUCUAAUGUAAAAAUAAAAGAAAUAUUCUUAUUUUUUUGCUCUACUUAAAGUUGCUAUUUGGUUUUGCAUUUUUGUUCAGGUAAGGUUGUCGGAUUUACCGUAUUUUUACAUUAGGUUUCCUUUUGUUACGCUAAGAAUAUUUUUUAUUCAUUAAACUUUCAUGGAUCCUCCUAUUCUUGAAAUAAAGUAAGUUUAUAUUAUCUUGCCAUAUUCUUUAUAAAUCCUGUAUAUUUUUUAAAAUUAUUCAAUAAAAUCGAUGCUAUUUGUUAUCAUCUUGAUUUAAGGAAAUUUUAGAUUUAAUCGAAAAUUUUAUAGAAGUAAAUACUUUCUCUUAUAUUCAACUGAAGUUAAAAGUUCGUGAUUAAUUUAACCAAAUUAUCCUAUUCAAAAUUAAUCACAAACUUAUAGCAAGUCAAAAUUUUACCAAUUAGCAACACUCUUAUAUUCGUGUUUAAAAUCCAAAAAUUAUUUAAUAAAAUUUUUUAUAGCGAAUCUCUCAUAAAAUUUGAAAAACUAUAUUCUCUUUGAUAUUCCGUAUCAUUAGUGGAGACCAUUCUCACUUUUCGUGUGCACUUUGUCAUUAUAACAUUUUAACAUAGGAGUACAUUUUACAUGAAAGUAGUUUGUGCCGUAUUAACAAACAAUUUAUUUAAUGAAUAUUUAUGUACAUUUGCUAUUGAAAUAUUAUAAUGCAAUGAACCCUUUCUAUAAUAAUUAUUCUUCAUAAUAUUUUAUUAUAAUGGUCAAAUUUUUUUGAAAGCCAACUUUUUAUUUUGUGUUAUAAUAUAUAUUUUAUAUAAUAACAUUUAGACCUCGGUAUUCUUGCUUAUGUUAUUAAGACUCACUGGUCUUCCAGGGCUUGGGCAUACUGUCACAGAUUCCAUUAAAUAUGAUGGGCCUUGAUGAUCUCCGAGAUUUUUUAUUAGGGAUUUUUACAUAUACAUACCAUAUAGCAAAUCUUAUUACCACCUAUAUUUAAGGUUUGUGUUUAUUACAUUUAAGUAUACCGCCUUUCAAUUUAUGUACCAAAAUUCUAUUUAAGGUUUAAUUAUCAACUUAUUAAUUAUAGGCUUGAUUUGUGAACUGAAAAUCUUUUCAGAUUUUAUUGUACACGUUUCUUCUCUCUCUUACAAACAAAACCCACGAUUUUCUCCCGUUUUUUAAUUACCCUCCCCCCACGUUUUUUUACCAAAACCGAUUUCUCUCUCUCUGCUUGAAUUUCGUCCGCUAUUGCCGAAGCUUGAACAGUUUCAGAUCGAGAAGUUCUUCUCAAUCCACCAUACUUUCAGUCCAUAAUUGUAUCAAAGCCAGAAACCCUAUACAAAACCGAUUUCUCUCUCUCUCUGCUUUGAAGUCGGAUAAAAUUUUAUAGAAGUAAAUACUUUCUUUUAUAUUCAACUGAAGUUAAAAGUUCGUGAUUAAUUUAACCAAGUUAUCCUAUUCAAAAUUAAUCACAAACUUAUAGCAAAUCAAAAUUUUACCCAUUAGCAACAAAAUCCAAAAAUUAUUUAAUAAAAAAUUUUAUAGCGAAUCUCUCAUAAAAUUUGAAAAACUAUAUUCUCUUUGAUAUUCCGUAUCAUUAGUGGAGACCAUUCUCCUCUUAUAUUCGUGUUUAAAAUCCAAAAAUUAUUUAAUAAAAAAUUUUAUGGCGAAUCUCUCAUAAAAUUUGAAAAACUAUAUUCUCUUUGAUAUUCCGUAUCAUUAGUGGAGACCAUUCUCACUUUUCGUGUGCACUUUGUCAUUAUAACAUUUUAACAUAGGAGUACAUUUUACAUGAAAGUAGUUUGUGCCGUAUUAACAAACAAUUUAUUUAAUGAAUAUUUAUGUACAUUUGCUAUUGAAAUAUUAUAAUGCAAUGAACCCUUUCUAUAAUAAUUAUUCUUCAUAAUAUUUUAUUAUAAUGGUCAAAUUUUUUUGAAAGCCAACUUUUUAUUUUGUGUUAUAAUAUAUAUUUUAUAUAAUAACAUUUAGACCUCGGUAUUCUUGCUUAUGUUAUUAAGACUCACUGGUCUUCCAGGGCUUGGGCAUACUGUCACAGAUUCCAUUAAAUAUGAUGGGCCUUGAUGAUCUCCGAGAUUUUUCAUUAGGGAUUUUUAUAUAUACAUACCAUAUAGCAAAUCUUAUUACCACCUAUAUUUAAGGUUUGUGUUUAUUACAUUUAAGUAUACCGCCUUUCAAUUUAUGUACCAAAAUUCUAUUUAAGGUUUAAUUAUCAACUUAUUAAUUAUAGGCUUGAUUUGUGAACUGAAAAUCUUUUCAGAUUUUAUUGUACACGUUUCUUCUCUCUCUUACAAACAAAACCCACGAUUUUCUCCCGUUUUUUAAUUACCCUCCCCCCACGUUUUUUUACCAAAACCGAUUUCUCUCUCUCUGCUUGAAUUUCGUCCGCUAUUGCCGAAGCUUGAACAGUUUCAGAUGAUUUCUCUCUCUCUCUGCUUGAAUUUCGUCCGCUAUUGCCGAAGCUUGAACAGUUUCAGAUCGAGAAGUUCUUCUCAAUCCACUAUACUUUCAGUCCAUAAAAUUGUAUCAAAGCCAGAAAUCCUAUACAAAACCGAUUUCUCUCUCUCUCUGCUUUGAAGUCGGAUAACAUGUCAGUUUGUAUGUCCUUUGGCGUGUAAACAGCCUUAGGAUCACAAUAGUUAUAUUCAACUGAAGUUAAAAGUUCGUGAUUAAUUUAACCAAAUUAUCCUAUUCAAAAUUAAUCACAAACUUAUAGCAAGUCAAAAUUUUACCAAUUAGCAACACUCUUAUAUUCGUGUUUAAAAUCCAAAAAUUAUUUAAUAAAAAAUUUUAUAGCGAAUCUCUCAUAAAAUUUGAAAAACUAUAUUCUCUUUGAUAUUCCGUAUCAUUAGUGGAGACCAUUCUCACUUUUCGUGUGCACUUUGUCAUUAUAACAUUUUAACAUAGGAGUACAUUUUACAUGAAAAUAGUUUGUGCCGUAUUAACAAACAAUUUAUUUAAUGAAUAUUUAUGUACAUUUGCUAUUGAAAUAUUAUAAUGCAAUGAACCCUUUCUAUAAUAAUUAUUCUUCAUAAUAAUAUUUUAUUAUAAUGGUCAAAUUUUUUUGAAAGCCAACUUUUUAUUUUGUGUUAUAAUAUAUAUUUUAUAUAAUAACAUUUAGACCUCGGUAUUCUUGCUUAUGUUAUUAAGACUCACUGGUCUUCCAGGGCUUGGGCAUACUGUCACAGAUUCCAUUAAAUAUGAUGGGCCUUGAUGAUCUCCGAGAUUUUUCAUUAGGGAUUUUUAUCACAGAUUCCAUUAAAUAUGAUGGACCUUGAUGAUCUCCGAGAUUUUUCAUUAGGGAUUUUUACAUAUACAUACCAUAUAGCAAAUCUUAUUACCACCUAUAUUUAAGGUUUGUGUUUAUUACAUUUAAGUAUACCGCCUUUCAAUUUAUGUACCAAAAUUCUAUUUAAGGUUUAAUUAUCAACUUAUUAAUUAUAGGCUUGAUUUGUGAACUGAAAAUCUUUUCAGAUUUUAUUGUACACGUUUCUUCUCUCUCUUACAAACAAAACCCACGAUUUUCUCCCGUUUUUUAAUUACCCUCCCCCCACGUUUUUUUACCAAAACCGAUUUCUCUCUCUCUGCUUGAAUUUCGUCCGCUAUUGCCGAAGCUUGAACAGUUUCAGAUCGAGAAGUUCUUCUCAAUCCACUAUACUUUCAGUCCAUAAAAUUGGUCCGCCAUUGUCGAAGCUUGAACAGUUUCAGAUCGAGAAGNNNNNNNNNNNNNNNNNNNNNNNNNNNNNNNNNNNNNNNNNNNNNNNNNNNNNNNNNNNNNNNNNNNNNNNNNNNNNNNNNNNNNNNNNNNNNNNNNNNNNNNNNNNNNNNNNNNNNNNNNNNNNNNNNNNNNNNNNNNNNNNNNNNNNNNNNNNNNNNNNNNNNNNNNNNNNNNNNNNNNNNNNNNNNNNNNNNNNNNNNNNNNNNNNNNNNNNNNNNNGCGCUGUAUGAAUGUUUCGUCCAUUCGGCAGCAUGUGUGUUGUCGGCUAAAACUUCUUAUCUUGAACAAUGAAGAAUCAUGAAUUGACGUUGCCUUAAAAUGCCAUUCGCAGUUCUCAGCUACACGUACAAGCCAGUAGCUACAAAAAAAUCUAAUUUUCAUGACAUAUUUAUUAAAAACUACAAUUAACUAUAAAUUGACUACAAUUAACUACAAACUGACUACAAUUAACAACAAACUGACUACAAGUAACUACAAACUGACUACAAUUAAAUCAAAACUGACUACAAGUAACUAGAAACGGACUACAAUUAACUACAAACAAUUAACUACAAACUGACUACAACUAACUACAAACUGACUACAAUUAAAUACAAACUGACUACAAGUAACUACNNNNNNNNNNNNNNNNNNNNNNNNNNNNNNNNNNNNNNNNNNNNNNNNNNNNNNNNNNNNNNNNNNNNNNNNNNNNNNNNNNNNNNNNNNNNNNNNNNNNNNNNNNNNNNNNNNNNNNNNNNNNNNNNNNNNNNNNNNNNNNNNNNNNNNNNNNNNNNNNNNNNNNNNNNNNNNNNNNNNNNNNNNNNNNNNNNNNNNNNNNNNNNNNNNNNNNNNNNNNNNNNNNNNNNNNNNNNNNNNNNNNNNNNNNNNNNNNNNNNNNNNNNNNNNNNNNNNNNNNNNNNNNNNNNNNNNNNNNNNNNNNNNNNNNNNNNNNNNNNNNNNNNNNNNNNNNNNNNNNNNNNNNNNNNNNNNNNNNNNNNNNNNNNNNNNNNNNNNNNNNNNNNNNNNNNNNNNNNNNNNNNNNNNNNNNNNNNNNNNNNNNNNNNNNNNNNNNNNNNNNNNNNNNNNNNNNNNNNNNNNNNNNNNNNNNNNNNNNNNNNNNNNNNNNNNNNNNNNNNNNAUUUUCGAAACUGAUGGCUACGUAUGAGAGAUUCACGCAGAGAGAUUUGCGCUGGGAUUAGAUCUUUUAAGGUUUUAAAAAGAUCAUUUAAUUAAGACAGUAUCAAAUAUUAAUUGGGAAGCUUAAAAUCUGGUGCUAUUUUAGGCUAUAAAUUCAACCAGAUAUGGUUUGGUACCGUUUUGGUAAAGAAAACAUGGUAUAUGCGGGUAAUAACCAAACAAGGCACAAUAAUGGUAAUAAGGUUUGCUAUAUGGCAUAUUUAGGUAAAAAUCCCUUUUUAUUAUGAUAAACCAAAUGGGUCGGGCUUUUCGGAAUAUUUCUUUCUUAGAAUUGAAAGAAAACAUUGAAAUGGCUGUUCCAAAUUUCAUCUAUACUUUUUUUUUGAGAUUUAAACAAAAAAAUAUAUUAUUUUCUUCUGAAAUGUUUAUUAUUGACUGCUGCCAUCGUAGAGACAAUUGGUUAAACUCCUUCAUGUACUUUCUCAUAGAAAUUUUUGAAAAACCUUGUUUCAAAUUCUUAAACUUAUUUAUGAAUUCCACUUCGACAUCACGUGAUAGAAAUUAAUCCUUAAUCUUCAACACUUCUUCUUCCUCGAAGCGCUUCUCUUCUAGCUCCCUCUUCUGUUGUACAUGUGCUCAAUUGUAGUUGUCAUACUCUAUAGCAAUACUUUAUUAUAAUAACUUUUCUUGGGAAUCAAUUAUGUUAUAAUACAUAUAUGUAUUAUAUAAUAAUACUGUAUUAUAACUAUCAAAAUAUAUUAAAACAAUCGAGGUUGUUAUAAAGAAGUUUUACUAUAAUAUAAAUAUAUAUUUUUGCUCGUGAGAGUACGAGGGUUUUGAAAAUGUUAAAUUCAUCCGGUUCCGAGACAUUGACCUGAGGGGAAUUUUGGGUAUUUUGCCUAAUUUUGUGCUUUAGCUUUGAAUUAAAUAGUAUAAUCAGUUGCUUGAGGUGUUAUUUAUAAUGUGUGAUUGCAUUGAAUAGAUUUGGGACAUUUGGAGUCGAGUACUCGUGGCAAGAACGCGGUUAAUAGUUGAAUUUAGCCGGCUCGAGGUAGGUAUCUUGCCUAACCUUGUGUGGGGGACUUCCCUUUAGGAUUUGAGUCUUCUUUGCUAAUUGUAUUCCUUGUACGCGAGGUGACGAGUGCGUGGUCGGAAUUAUUUGUGGAAAAUUAUCCCUUUUAGGUUCUUAGAUCCUUGAAAUCACUGAAUAUGAGAUUGUUCUUAAUACGAUUGAGUCCCUGUUUUUAGUUUCACCUCUACAUGUCUUACUUGGAACUUAUUUGCCCUUUUUGGUGUAUUCUUGUUGCCAAAUUGAUUUUUUAUUUAUUUAACUGUGGACAUUUACCCUUUUAUAGUCACAUUAUCAUUAUUAACUGCUUGUUUUUAUUUGGAACACAUUGUUUCUAUCUCUCGUUCAAUUAAUAUCAUAAAGAAGUUAAAUAUCUUGUGCUUAGGCAAUAUUUUCCUUAAUUGUGAUUGUUCGUUUCAUGUUAAUUUUCUUGUUAUUGAACUGAGUAUUAUGGAAUCGUUGUUUUGUAUUAUUUCUUCCUUGUUGAAUUGUUCUUAUUGCGCUUAGUAUUUCUCUAUUACGAUUAUUCCUUGUAAGUUGGUUGUACCUUCUUUUGGUGAACGAAAACACUUGAGUUGAUUCCCUUGCUUCUCUCUCUCUCUCUGUCUCUCUCUCUCUCUCUCUCUCUCUCUCUCUAUAUAUAUAUAUAUAUAUAUAUAUAUAUAUAUAUAAUUUAUUCCUUGUUGACUUGUUCUUGUUGUGCUUAGUAUUUCUCCAUUACGGUUAUUCCUUGUGAGUUAGUUGUAUCACCUUUUGGUAAAUCAGAAUAGCUGAGUUGAUUCUCUUGCUUUGUUCGUGUAUAUAUUAUCAUUUAUUGUGUUGUACUUGAGACUGUGAUGCACGAGGUUUCUGUCGUGCGGUUGUUGAUACUAUGAUGCACGAGGUUUCUACCGUGCGGCUAUUGGUACUGUGAUGCACGAGGUCUCUGUCGUGCGAUUGUUGUUGAGGGGUUGAUGAGGUCUUUGUCGUGCUAUUGUUGUUAUUGAUGUUUUCCACAUGUGGCGUAAUAAGGGGUGAUAUGCUAUAUGCUUAUAUGUGGGUUGCGCAUGUGGCGGAAUAAGGUAGGAACAUUGUGAAGCACGUAUGGCAAAAUAAGGCGACGCUUAUUAUAUUAUUAUUGCACACGUAGCGAAAUAAGGUGGGCUAUGUCAGGGGUUGAUUGUAAUGAAUUAUGACGGCCUGUUGAGGUCUCCUAUUUUGUUAUUAUUAUGAUUUUGGGUUGCUUACCUGUAUGAGCUUUACCGCUCGGAUGUUUUGAGGAAACAUCGUACGUGCGGUCCGUUCUCCUAUUCAUGUUUAAUAGUUGGUAGAAUUCUUGUAAGAACACUUGCACAAGCAUACACGUAGUUGAAUACUCCCUUUAGAGGUAAAUUGCUCCUGUUUUUGCUAAGGAGGGAGGUACGCCCUCGUUUAUCCAUUAUAUAUGUGAGAGUGGACAUAGUUAGCUGGUUAGUGGUCUGUAUGACUGAGGGACUAAUGGGGCACAGGAUACCAAGUGUUAGAUUUCAGAUGCUGGGUUUUCGUGAGUUGUGGUCUGUCCCAGACUUGGUAAAAUUGUGGAAAGAGUGAAUAAGACUUUACGUGAACAUCCUUGUAGGAUAUGAGUUAUGGACUUGUUUUUCCCUUGUUGUAUUGUGACCUUAGGAUUUGGAUUUGAUUUGCCGUCGUUAUGCCUCACCAUUUAUUAUUUUCUCGUUGUUACUUGUUGUUAUUUUCCCUUAUUGUGAAUUGUAGCACUAUUGGUCAUUUCAUGCAGUCAUUACAUAUUUAUAUAUCAUUUCCGUUGUUCUUAUGAUUAUACUAUUUAUUCACCGAUAGGUGUCUUGACCGUUCCUCAUCACUACUCCACCGAGGUUAGUCUUGAUACUGUUUAUUCUCCCACUCAAUUCUCUCAGCCUCGGAUGGAGGCAUAUCGGUAGAGACUUCGAGGUAUAUCUGCUAUGUCUGCAGACCGAGGAGUCUCUUUCCAGCUUUUUAUAAUAAGUAUAGCUCUUUCAGUAUGUCUCCUUGUAUAGAUAUUCUUGAGCUAGAGCCUUGUAUGUAUCCCCAACUUGUGAUUGUGAGAUUCCAGGUUUUGGGAAAAUUUUGUUAGCUUCGAGGGUUAUUAUUAUAUGUACCAGGAGGCACCUUAAACACUGAUUAUUUUACUAGUUCAGAUUUUAUUUCUUUCUUCCGCAUUUUGGUUUAUAUUCCGUAAUGUUAGGCUUACCUAGCCGUAGGGACUAGGUGCCGUCAUGACAUGUUCACGGAGGGAGAACUAGGGUCGUGACAAGUUGGUAUCAGAACUCUAGGUUCAUAGGAGUCACAGAUCACGAGCCGGUUUAUUAGAGUCUCGUGGAUCGAUACGGAGAUGCCUGUACUUAUCUGCGAGAGGCUAUAACCGUUUGGAAAAUUCCACUUCAUUUAAUUUCCCCAUCGUGCGAGAUUUUUUACAUCCACAAUCCUAAACCUCUGUCUUCUACUCUCUCACAAAUGGUGAAGAAACGUACUACCCGAGGUGAUCAGGCACCCGUACCCCUUGCUGCAGCCGUUGGAGGUCGGGGAUGGGGUAGAGUUCGAGGACGCGCACGUGGUGCAUCAAGAGCACAUGUGCGAACGGCCGCCGAGGUACCACCAGCAGAUCCAGCCAGAGUCCAGGCACCUCACACGCCUACUGCUACUACUUCUCCAGGACUUCAGGAGACUUUGGCACAAUUCACGAGUAUAUACACCACUUUGGCUCAGGCAGGAUUGCUUCCCUUUUGUUGUAGCCAUAUCCCAGGCCAGGAUAGGAGCACAAACUCUCACCACCCGCACUCCUAUGCAGCGAGCGUAUGUUGAGCAGGUCUCUAAGAUUAUUCCUGUACCGCCUGCAGCACCAAUUCAGCUCGAGGGCAUGGCGGCGGCUUCCGAGCAAGAGCAGAAGAGACUAGAGAGGUUCAAGAAGUAUGAUCCUCCGGUGUUUAGUGGAUUAGCAUCAGACGAUGCCUCGGGGUUUCUUGAUGAGUGUUGCCGCAUUCUCCGUACUAUGGGUAUCUCGGGAUCAAGUGGGGUUUCUUUCAUUACUUUUCAGCUUCGAGGAGGCGCCUAAGAUUGGUGGCGCACCUAUGAGUUAGCCCAGAUGAGGUAGCUUUACCGACUUGGACCCAUUUUUUAGGUAUUUUCCUGAGGGAGUUUGUUCCUCAGAGCCUUAGGGAUGCAUGGCACGCGGAGUUUGAGCAUUUGCGCCAGGGUGUUAUGACCAUCUCGGAGUAUGAUGUCUAUUACACCAGCUUGGAUAGAAAUGCCCCAGUCUUUGUUUCUACUAUUUGCGAGAAGGUUCGCCAGUUCAUUGAGGGGCUUAUUCCUAACAUCAGGUCCAUUAUGGCUCGUAAGUUAGAGAUGGAUAUUCCAUAUCAGUAGGUGGUGAACAUUGCUAGAGGAUAGAGGGUAUGCAUGCCAAAGAGAGAAAGGGCAGGCAAUGUCACGAGAGAGAGAGAGAGCAGACGAGGUUAGGAGAGAGAGUUUGAGGAGGCGAGGAGUCCUCGUAGAUCGGGGAGAUACACUUGUCCUUAUUUUGGAGGCAGGAUGAGUCAUGGUAGUGGUUUUACGGGUCAGCCAGUUCAGCUCACGCUUCAGGCUAUGCAUAGUGAUUCAAGUGUUCAGGGGUCUCGAAGUACCCAUAUCGCACAGUUUCCCAUCGCCUCGUCAGUAGAGAGGGUGCUUUGAGUGUGGAGAUACUAGCCACAUGGUGAGAGAUUGUCCCAGACUUCGGACCGCAGUGUUACAACGAGGUAUUCAUGCAGGUAGAGGGCGCCCAAGAGGGGGAGGCCCGACUUAUUGAUGCGUUUCUUAUAGUAGACUUGAGGCCGAUGUGCUAGCAAAUGUCAUUCAGGAACGAAUUCAGUUAUUUAUAGAGAGGUACUAUCUAUAGUUCAUCACGGUUCUACUUAUCGGGAUGGGUUUCCUUGUUUGUUAUUCUAUUUAUGGGAGCAUUUCAAGGUUUGUGCACUAUUUAUGUGAUUAUCCCGUGGGUAGGUUUUAUGAGUGAUAGUCGUUUCAAUCGGCUGUUUCUAGCUGUUGUCAAGAGUUGUGAGGCUAAUAGUAAAUUCAUGCUGUUUGUUUCGGUAGGUUUGAUGCGAUUUUUGAGCAUUCUUGGUACAAGCUGUGAUUUCUAUGCUCCACCGGUGUGGGAGCCAGUUUGUGUUGUAAAUUAUAGAUGGAAUUGAUCUAGUAAAUGUCUCUAGAUAGGUCUAUGAGUACUCUACUUGUGAUUCAGUGUUGAGAGCGGGACCCUUGUGAUUUCGGGUGAUUUGAUAUGUUGAGGCCGGGUUGUGUGCUGCGGUGAGAGUUAUAUUAGUAUAAGAUCCUUGUGAGUCUUUUAUAUGCUUUCAUUCUUUCUUGUUAGAUGUCUUUGUAGAUUUGAGUUUUAGAAGAAUUGGUGCUAGUUUGCUUUGUUUGUUAGUUCCCUUAUGUGUUUUUCUUUUCCCAUAUUCAUUCAUUUUUGUUCUAUGCUUCUUGAGUUUUAGUUUGUAGGGUAUGUACCUAUUGGUGUUGGAUGAGAUUUGGUUGUUCAAGUGUUUUUCUAUGUGGUUUUUGUGGUUAUUAUAUCAUCGCCAGUGUUGUGGAGGUUUGAAAGAAGUUCCUAUUGAAUAUGAGGCUUAUGGACGGUACGGAUUCGAUCUCAGGCAAGUAUUACUAUCAGAAAUGUUAUUGUGGGGCUAUGUGUGUGUGUCAUGUUGUGUGGAUGUACCCUGUGUGUGUAGGCGUGGAUUGAUGCAGCCGGUUGAGACUGAUACCGGAUAUGGAUUUAGAAUCGAUUUUUUUGGAAAUGGAUGGAAGGCGAAAAUUCUGGUUGGAAGGCUAUUGGUAUUACCAGAAAGGCUAAAUUUCAGUUGAGAUGGUGUCGUCAUGCUUAAGUGGAUUGGGGUGACGUGGGAUCACCCGUAGGUGUAUGUUGGAAGUACGCACUCAGUGACUUGAGGACUUUGAGGUGCAUCUUAGCACGUUCAAGGACAAACAUAGGUUUUAAGAGCGGGAGGACGUAACGACCCGACCGGUCGUUUUUAGAAAUUUAAGCUUCGUUUAGCGCCAUAAGGUUUGGAAAAGCUCCGGAAUAUGAGUAUUUACUUGUGUGCAUGGUAGAAUUCGGCCUUUGGAUGGUUUAGAGCCAAAUUGAAAGAAGAAAUCUAGUUUUGGAAGUUUGAACGGGGAAAAUUUGACCGGAAUUGGACUUUUGGGCAAACGACCCCGAAAUGGGUCAUGGAUGAUCUCAAUAGCUCCAUAUGGUGAUUUUGGACUUAGGCGCGUGUUCAGAUUCAGAUUGGAGGUCCGUAGAGUGAAUUGAAGCAUUUCGGCGAAAGUUGAAGUUGGAAAAUAAAGAAGUUUGACCCAUAGUUGACUUUUGGGAUAUCAGGGUCGGAAUACGAUUCCUAUAGUUGGAGCAGCUCCGUUAUGUUAUUUUGGACUUGUCUGCAAAAUUUGCCAUCACUCUGAGUUGAAUUGAUAGGUUUUCAGCAUGUGAUUCGAUAUUUGAAGACUUGAAAGUUCAUAACUUAGUUUUUGGUUUGAUCCUUCAUUAAUGUUGUUUUAAGUGAUUUGAAACUUCGAGCGAGUCCAUGUUAGGUUAUAUGUCUUGAGUGUGAGAUUAGAGGGGUUCCGAGAGCCUCAAUUGUGGUUCGGAUUGGCUACGGGUCAUUUUUCCCUAUGUUUGAACUGCUGUUCUGCUAUCUGGUAUUUCCUUCUAUGCAAUCGCAUUGUUUGUCCAGCGAUUUCAUAGCACAGUUUGGGCAUCAAUAUUUUCCUUCUAUGCGAUCGCAUUACUUGUCCCGCGAUCGCAUUGCACAAAUGUUGGGUAGCAGUAUUUCCUUCUAUGCAAUCGUAUUGAUUUGCCCGCGAUCGCAUAGCACAAUUUUGGCAGCAAUAGUUUUCCUUCUACGCGAUUGCAUUGUUUAGCCCGCGAUCGCAUAACACAAAUCACUGGGCAGACAGAAUUAAAUCCCAAAUUCGAGGGUUUCACCAUUUUAUCAUAUUUUGACUUCUAGAGCUUGGUUCUUGGCGACUUUUGAAGGGAUUUUCACCUGGGCGACUUGGAUAAGUGUUCCUCACUCGAUUUAGACCAAUUUUCAUGAAUCUCCUCCUAAUUUCGUCCUUUAAUUUUAAAUUUUUAAUGAAAAAUGGGUAGAACAUCAUAGACUGAAUUAUUGAGUUUUGAGGGGGUGUUUGACCUCCGAUUUGAGAGGUUUUUAUAUGGUUAAACUCGUGAGAGAACGAGGGUUUUGAAAAUGUUAAAUUCAUCUGGUUCCGAGACAUUGGCUUGAGGGGAAUUUUGGUCAUUUUGCCUAAUUUCGUACCGCUUUGAAUUAAAUAGUAAAAUCAGUUGCUUGAGAUGUUAUUUAUAAUGUGUGAUUGAAUUGCAUAGAUUUGGGCCAUUUGGAGUCGAGUACUCGUGGCAAGAACACGGUUGCUAGUUGAAUUUAGCCGGCUCGAGGUAAGUAUCUUGCCUAUCCUUGUGUGGGGGACUUCCACGUAGGAUUUGAGUCUUCUUUGCUGAUUGUAUUCCUUUUACGCGAGGUGACGAGUGCGUGCUCGAAUUUAUUUGUGGAAAAAUUGUCCCUUUUAGGCUCUUAUUUCCUUGAAAUCACCGAAUCUUGGCAUGAUGGAAGGCCUAGGAGUAUCGUGGGAGCACGAGGGUGCAUGUGAAAGAGUGGCCAAGACAAUGCCAAGAACACGUCAGGCCAUGGAAGCACAAUCUUGCGCUAUGGAAGGUUCUAGAAGGUUCCGGAGAUUAGAAUUGAGUGAGGGCAGCGGUUCCUCCAUAAUAGCUAUGAAAAGGGAAGUGGAAUUUCACCACGAAAGGUAAGGAAGAACUGUGGUUCAACUCCACAGCGUGGUUAGAGCAGCACCACAAGCCAAUCAACCAACAAAGAGAUACGCUUCACAGAAGGAAGAGAUAGAAUCCAGCUUUUGUUUGUUAUCAGGAGUGCAAGUUCCCAACAUCGCUCCGGUUGGAAUUAGAGAAACUAAGUUCGUUUCGGUAUGAGAAAAUAACCAAUCCUGAAUAAGGGAUAAGUCAGGCGUGUACAGACUAUGGCAUCGUUAAGCCCUUUUAAUUAAGUGUGAAAUGUGUUGUUUCAAAGUAGCUAAGGGAAGUUUGGUCGGAGACCUGAUCUUUGGUCAUAUAGCCGUGUGAGAAGUCUGGUACUCUAUUAAGAAGAAAAUUCCCUGAUCGUCUGUCAUAUGCGCUGGGUGAAAAAUGCGGGUAAAUCUAGUUCAAUCGGUAAAUCCAUAUCAGGAGUAAGCUGCUCCGUUGUAGCCACUUCUGUACCUGUACCGGCUUGAGCAGCCGAAAUANNNNNNNNNNNNNNNNNNNNNNNNNNNNNNNNNNNNNNNNNNNNNNNNNNNNNNNNNNNNNNNNNNNNNNNNNNNNNNNNNNNNNNNNNNNNNNNNNNNNNNNNNNNNNNNNNNNNNNNNNNNNNNNUUGAUUAACACUCGAAGAUGCACAUUUGGGGAUUCGACAGAACACUGUCUUCGGCCAGGAGAUUGAUAGAGACCAAUAUGAGGUUGUUCUUAAUACGAUUGAGUCCUUGUUAUUAGUUUCACCUCUACAUGUCUUACUUGAAAUUUAUUUUCCCUUCUUGGUGUAUUCUUGUUGCCAAAUUGAUUUUACUUGUUUAACUGUGGACAUUUACCCUUCUAUAAUCACAUUAUCAUUCCUAACUGCUUGUCUUUGUUUGGAAAACAUUGUUUCUAUCUCUUGUGCAAUUAAUUGAUCUUAAUUAGAAAGAAGUUAGAUAUCCUGUGUUUAGGCAAUAUUUUCCUUAAUUGUGAUUAUUCAUUUCAUGUUAAUUUUCUUGUUGUUGAACUGAGUAUUAUGAAAUCGUUAUUUCGUAUUAUUUCUUCCUUGUUGAGUGUUCUCAUUACGCUUAGUAUUUCUCUGUUACGGUUAUUUCUUGUAAGUUUGUUGUACCGUCUUUUGGUGAACGGAAACACCUGAGUUGAUUCCCUUGCUUUGUUCCUGUAUAUAUUGUCAUUUAUUAUGUUGUACUUGAGACUAUGAUGCACGAGGUUUCUGCCGUGAGGUUGUUGAUACUGUGAUGCACGAGGUUUCUGCCGUGCGGUUGUUGAUACUGUGAUGCAUGGGGUUUCUGCCGUGCAGCUAUUGGUACUGUGAUGCACGAGGUGUCUACUGUUCGGUUGUUGUUAAGGGGUUGCACGAGGUCUUUGCGGUGCUAUUGUUGUUAUUGAUGUUUUGCACAUGCGGCAUAAUAAGGCGGGAUAUGUUAUAUGCUUAUAUGUGGGUUGCGCAUGUGGUGGAAUAAGGUGGGAACAUUGUGAUGCACGUGUAGCGAAAUAAGGCAGUGGUUAUUAUAUUAUUAUUGCACACGUGGUGAAAUAAGGUGGGCUAUGUUAGGGGUUGAUUGUAUUGAAUUGUGACGACCUGUGGAGGUAUUCCUAUUUUGUUAUUAUUGUGAUGUGGGUUGCUUACCUGUAUGAGCUUUAUUGCUCGGAAGUUGUGAGGAAAUAUCGUACGUGCGGUCCGUUUUCCUAUUUAUGUUUACUAGUUGGUAGAAUUCUUGUUAGAACACUUGCACAAGCAUACACAUAGUUGAAUACUCCAUUUAGAGGUAAAUUGCUCCUGUUUUUUCUAAGGAGGGAGGUACGCCCUCGUUUAUCCAUUAUAUAUGUGAGUAUGGAUAUAGUUAGCCAGUUAGUGGUUAGCAUGAUUGAGGGACUGAUGGGGCACGGGAUACCAAGUGUUAGAUUUCAGAUGCUGGGUUUUCGUGAGUUGUGGUCUGUCCGAGACUUGGUAAAAUUGUGGAAAGAGAGAAUAAGACCUUAUGUGAACAUCCUUUUAGGAUAUGAGUUAUGGACUUGUUUUUCCCUUGCAGUGUUGUGACCUUAGGAUUUGGAUUGUGAUUUGCCGUCGUUAUGCCUCACCAUUUAUUAUUUUCUCGUUGUUACUUGUUGUUCUUUGCCCUUAUUGUGAAUUGUAGCAUUAUUGGUCAUUUCAUGCAGUCAUUACAUAUUUAUAUAUCAUUCCCGUUGUUCCUAUGAUUAUACUAUUUAUUCACCGAUAGGUGUCUUGACCGUUCCUCAUCACUACUCCACCGAGGUUAGUCUUGAUACUGUUUAUUCUCCCACUCGUUCACCGAUAGGUGUCUUGACUGUUCCUCGUAACUACUCCACCGAGGUUAGUCUUGAUACUUACUAGGCACCGCCAUGGUGUGCUCAUGCUACUCUUCUGUGCAUUUUUGUUUUGUAGAUACAGGUUCUCCCACUCAGUUCUGUCAGCCUCGGAAGGAGGCAUAUCGAUAGAGACUUCGAGGUAUAUCUGCUACGUCCGCAGACCGAGGAGUCUCUUUCCAGCUUUCUAUAAUAAGUAUAGCUCUUUCAGUAUGUCUCCUAGUAUAGAUAUUCUUGAGUUAGAGCCUCGUAUGUAUCCCCAGCUUGUGAUUUGUGAGAUUCUGGGUUUUGAAAAAUUUUUGUUAGCUUCGAGGAUUAUUAUUAUGGAGGACGAAUUAAGGUCGUGGCACAUGUUGACUUGCUGCCUGCUUAUUCCCUCUUCUAUAUAGUGUAUGCUAGUUCUACAAAGCCCGAGUCCUAGCCCAAAAUCAAGGCAAUAACGUUCAUAGUAAUAAUAAUAAUAAUAAUAAUAAUAAUAAUAAUAAUAAUAAUAAUAACAAUGAUAUUUUUUGUAAUAUUUUUAGGCAUUUACUUUUUUAAGAUCAUCGCUUAAACAUUUAUUAUUCAUUAUUUUGUUUUCUGAUCCUAUCAUUAAGAUCAUCGAUAUAGUACAUUCCCAAUAUCAAAUGAAUUCUUCAAGGUUAUUGUUUUCAACAUUUUAGAUUUGUUAUUGUGCAUAAUUAUUCAUCAUCAUUCACAACUUUACAAGCAUUAUUGAAGGACUCAAAGUUUAAUAUAUUUACCAAAUUAAAUAUAGGAACUUAAGCAAAAAAAAAAAGGAAAUAAAGUAGGGGCAAAAAACUUAUGGUACAUACUUCACUAGCAAAAAGCUAGGGUAAGGAGCUAUAUAUUACCAAAAAAGAUUUGAAAGUCUUAAUUUAAUGGAAACAUACUUUAGUAUAUGAAGUAAUAAAUAGCAAAUACAAGGGCAUAUUUGAAAGAGCAAAACCCUUUUGAUUCGCAAACUAACAAGAUAGUUACAAUAUAACUAAGGAAUACAGAACUUUUUACGUUGUCCUUUAUAUAUAGUAGUAAUAAUAAUACUUUACUAUAGCUGCCAAAAUUGUCAUGCCCCGAACCUGGGCAUCGGUGCCUGACUACAUGUGACCGAGCGAACCAACUGGCUGGCUGAAUCAACAUGUGGUAUCAUAACAUACUGAAUGCGGAAGAUAAACUAACACAUGCUGAUAUACUGAAAGUCUGGAUGAUAUAAAUCAAAGUACGAAAAUACUAAUACAAGUUUGAAUCAUCUUUGUAGCCAACAUAGCUUAAUAUGAAAAGCAUGUGACUUUGUCUAACUGUUACUCUAGUCUAUGAAGCCUUUGAAAACACUGACUGUCUGAAAAUACUGAAGACUGUAAGGUAAAGAUAAUGUCCCGAAAGAAUUAGGAAUCACCAAAUAGCUAGCGCUCUGAAUCAUCAACCUGUAAACUAUUACUUGCAUCGUGAAAUGCAGGCCUCCUGCAAAAGGGACGUCAGUACAUUUGAAUUGCACUGGUAUGUAAAGCAACUGAAAGAAAGAACUAUAAUUGCUAAAACUAAUGCUGAGCUGAUAACUGAGAUUUGAUAACUGAUAACUGAAAUGAUAACUGUUGAAACUGAAAUUGAAAUGAUAACUGAAAAUUGAUAACAAAAAUGAUAAUUGAUAGCUGAACUGAACACAUGAAGUAAGGUAAUGAAUACUCCAUCUUCUAAAUGAUGAACAACCUAUUUAUCUGAAUAAGCUACGGUCUCGACCCAAUAUAUAUGUGCACAAGCUAUAGACUCACGCCCAAGUAUACGUAUACAUAACUACGGCCUCAGGCCCAAAAAUGCAUAAAGCAUAAACUAUGGCCUCAGGCCCAAAUAUAGGUGUUCAACAUUUAGGAAUUAAUAAUCAGAAACUGAGAAUCAUACUGUAAUACAUUAUAGUGAAAUACUGAAUCACAUUGAGUUACAUGAUACAUGAAAACUGGGUCAUACUGGGUUACAUAAUACUGACCUACUAAAUGGGACUAGACUGAGACAUGUAUUCUUGAACUGAUUAUGGAUACUGAAAUUUUAACUGUUUAUGACAUACUGAGUAAGCUAUACUAAGACCCAGGGGCAUCAAACCCAAGUCUAUAUUGAAUACGCACUGAUCUCACAACGUUCAGAAUGAAAGUCAUGAGCGAGUAAUAAAGCUAGAGAGUAGAAGUUCUACAGCUAUUCAAGGAACUAGGCUUAAUUAUAUUUCUGAGGCAAUUGAGUUAUGAAGCUAUAGAAUAGAAGUUCUACAACUAUUCAAGGAACUAGGCUUAACUAUAUAUCUGAGAUAAUUGGUAACGCCAUAAAAGAAACGUAGUGUAGGGAGAAUCCUUAAAUUCCCAAACAUAGAGAGUUAGCCUCACAUACUUUAACUUCCUACUCUUGAGCAUAAUACAACAUUGCCAACCUUUUCAACUUUAAUCUAUAUCAAUACAAGUCAAAUGGAUCCCAAAUAAGCAAAAAUAGUCAUGUUUUGGUCACUUAUGCAUUUUAUCAAACACUCGGUGGCAUAAAGCUUCAUAGCCCUUACUAAUGGUGUUUCUACACCCAAUAAUCCAUUCUCUUGCUCAUAAAUAAAUUCUAAAGUCUCAAAUAGUUCAAUCAACAUUAUUCUUUGUCACCCAUAAGGUAAUCAACAACCAUAACCAAUAAUAACCAAUCAACAAUCCAAACCUAUCACCGUUCAUACUUUUCUACCAAAUUCAUAUACUUAUAUCUCAUGAAACAAAGUCUAUAAUCAUUAAUUCAAUGAUAGAAUCAAUUAGAGGGUGAAGAUAUUACCUUUUCUACGUUCAAUCUUCUUGAAUUCGAGUUCUAGGGUUUCUUCUCUCAACAAUGGUGACCCAAUCGAAUAUCUAAUGAUAUGGAGGGUUUACCCAUGUUAAUAAGACGUUAGAAAAUUGAAGUUAGCUUAGAAUUACCAUUAAAACCUACUUAGAGUGGUGAAAAGACCAUUAAGGAGUUAGGUUUUUGAGAGUUUCCCUUUCUAGAUCAAGUUUUUAUGUUUUGGGGCUGUGGGAAAAAAAAUAUAGCUUUAAAACGACCCCCCACGAGCGAGCCCACGCUACCAACCACGCUAAAUGGCAGUAACACUGCCUCAAAUUAGCACGGCGCGCUAAUGGGCGCGCUACCGACGCACAUAUCGCAUACUGUUCUGUAAGAUGUACAUAACUUUUUGCACAGAAAUCCGUUCGGGAUCUAUAAUAUAUUUUUGGAAAGUAUUUCGAAGACCUACAACUUUCAUGCUUUGCGUUUUCUAAAAUUUCUUACAUAUUUUUACUAAAAACUACUGGAAGACGGACCUUCUGCAAACUAAGUCGAUUUGUCAAAUCUUAUGCACCUUACUUUUCAUCUUGAUUUUAAAAUAACUAUUUUCACUCAUAAUCAUCCCGAUAGAACUUCAUAUGUCCAAAAUAUAAUCUUACUACUCUUUAACUCAUUCAUUCCUAAUUCGAAUGUGCGGGAUGUUACAAAAAUAUAUCAAAAUAAUCGAGGUUGUUAUAAAGAAGUUCUACUGUAGUAUAAACAUAAUUUUUUACUCAAAUAAAAAUGAAAAUAGAAGUUUGUGUACAAUUUCGAACUACAUCUAAGUGAAUUGUGCAUUUGGAUUUGAUUCAAUUUAAUCAAUCUAUUAGAUAUUAGUAACAUAAAUUAUUUAUUUGUUUUACUUAAAAAAAACUAUAACAGAAAUAAGAAUACGUAACGAUAUAUAAUAUUUAUAAAAUUUUAUUAGUUAGUAUAUUCUCUAUAAAAUAAAUAUAAGAGUAUUUUAAAGGUUCCAUACAUGAAACCUGUCAUACUAACCACGUGUCCCACUAGCUCCACUGUUCCAUACAUGAAACCUGUCAUACUAACCACGUGUCCCACUAGCUCCACUGUCGAUGUUUAAGAGUAAAAAGCUGCACAAGAGACGUUGUACUUAAUGGGCCCACUAAAAAAAAAGUACAUCACUUGGGGCAAUUUACUCAAAGGCAAUUAAAAACUUAUACAACAGUUGUGCUACAAUAUUUUUUUAGCCAAUUAUGUUACCUCAUUCACUAUGAAAUGAUUAGAUUAUUCUUUAAAUCUUAAGUAGGCAUGUUGACUUGCUGCCCGCCUAUUCUCUCUUCUAUAUAGUAUAUGCUAGUUCUACAAAGUUCGUGUUGAGCCCGAACCCAAAGUUUAUCAUAAUAACAAUAAUAAUAAUAAUAAUAAUAAUUUGUGUUAUAUUUUUAGGUAUUUACUUUUUAAGAUAAUUUCUUAACCAUUUUAUUAUUCAUUAUUUUUAUUUUUAAUUAUAUCAUUAGAUAAUUAAUUAAAAUAAAUAUUUAUAAGAAAGCAAGUGUGUUAAGGAUAAGCAGAUAUCAAAGGGACAAAGAUAACUUGAUAUUUAAUAUAAUAAUUUAAAAUAUGAAAUGACUCCAAAUUAACUAUAAUCAUAAAUUAAAUUUUUUUUAAUAUUCGAUGAAUUUGCAGGAAUAUAAUUUCUAAUUAGUAGUAGAAAUAAAGAAGAUAUUUUAAUAGAUUAUUUCGGUAUUUAUUGAUUAACUACUCAUAAUUUCAUAUGACCAUAAUUUAUGUUUGAAUAAAUAUGGUGAUUAAAGUCUAGAUUUAGAUUAAAAUCAGAAAUACUCAACAACAACCCAGUAUAAUCCCACAUAGUGGGGUCUGGGGAGGGUAUUAUGUACGCAGACCUUACCUCUAACCCAGGGGUAGAGAGGCUGUUUCAGAUUAGACCCCCGUCAUCCUUCCCUCCAAGAACUUCCCACCUUGCUCUUAGGGAGACUCGAACUCACAACCUCUCGAUUGGAAGUGGGGGUUGCUUAGCAUCAGAGCUUAUGACCCAAAUUCAUUAAAACAAAUUCCAAUAAUUAUCUUAGUUUUGUCAUUAACUCAUUAAUCCUUUAUUUUUAAGAGAAAAUUAAUGAUUAUAUAAUUUUUGACAAAUUAAAUUAUUUUAAGAAACAAAAAAUAUCUUUGUUUCAAUAGCUUAUGACCAUCAACCAUAUUUAAUAAAUAUGAGAUUACAAGUUGAUCACUUGCUAAGCACCUCUCCCUUUUCCUCUAUUUUAUCCCCACUUAAUUAAGUAAAUUGAAUAAAUCCUAAUACUUUUUUAUUUUAUUUUCAAGAUUCUAAUCUAUCAAAUUUUAAAAAGUUUUGAAAUUUAUUUUCAAUUGCACUAAAUUUAUUUUUUCAAAAUAAUUUUUCUAUUAAGAAUAAGACCGAAGAGAUAUUUAAUUAUAAUUUUAGAAUUACGAAGAAAAUUUGAUCGAUAGAGUUAUGAUGAGACAAAAGGCUAUCACUUCAUUUUAAAUUAAAUUCCGUAUUUCCGAGGUCAUGAAAAUCACAUCUAGAGUCAUCUCGAUUUGCAUGCACAGUCGGACGCAUAACCGGAAAGCUUAACUAUGAAAAUUUAUAAAAAAUAAUAAAAUUUGACUAUAAAAUGAGUUAAUUUGACUUCGGUCAACAUUUUAGGUAAACGGACUUGGACCCGUAAUUUGAUGGUCCCGCAGGGUCCAUAGGAAAAUAUGGGACAUGGGCGUGUUCCUGGAAUCAAAUUCCGAUAUACCAAGCCUGAGAAAUGAUUUUUUUUUAAAAAAAAUUAUCUUCUGAAAUUGUUUAAAGGAAUUUGAAAUGAAAUUUGAUUAGAACAUGAUGGUAUUGGGCCCAUAUUCUGGUUUCGGUGCCCGGUACAGGUGUUAUAUAUGAUUUAAGAUGAUCCUGUGAAAUUUGGUGAAAAACGGAUGUCAUUUGACGUUAUUUAGACCUAAAUGGAAAAAGUUGAGGUUUAAGAAGUUUAGAAAUAUUUCAUUAAUUUUGAGGUUUCAUUCAUUGUCAAAGGUGUUAUUUUGGAGAUUUGAUCGCACGGUUAAGUUCAUAUUAUAUUAUUGAGUUAGUACGUGCAUUUGGUUAGGAGCCCCGAGGGCUCGGUGUGUAUCGGAUAUGUUUCGAGAGGUUUUUGGACUUAAGAAAUGUUGCAGAUUUUGCUAUGCAGUGCACAUGGAAUUUGUUCUUCGUGUUCGCGUGGUCCCACUCGUAUAAGGAAAAAAUCCUAAGUGCUACUUUCUUCUUCGCGAACACGAAGCCUGAGACGCGAACGUGAGGCUGGGAGGGGGAGCACCCUUCGCGAACGUAUCCAGGUACUCGCGAACGCGUAAGGUAAUGGGCACGGGGAGGGAGUUCUAAGUUAUUCUUUGUGAUCGUGGCCACUGGUCCGAGAACACGAGGGCUCGAGGGGUUAAAGCUCCGCGAAUGCGAAGGUCUUUAGGCUUGACUCAUCAUGAACGUGAUGAGCCUGUUGCAAACGUGAUGGGUAAAUUCGCCCAGUUAUUUUAAGUUUAAAAAACAUCACUUACAGGAUUUUCAUAAAAAUUCAUAAACCUCUUCUUCUCCAAAGCUCUUAGGCGAUUUUUGAAGCAUUUCCUCACCAUAAUUUCUUGGGUAAGUAAUCUUUAACUUGUUUGCUUCUAUUUUUAUCAACACCUACUAGAUUUCUAGGCCUGAAACAUGAAAUUAAGGGUAGAAAAUUAGGGAUUUGGGUAGAGUUAGGGCUUUUGAUUUAAUUAUGAUUUAGAUCUCGUUUUGGGACAAAUUCUGGAACUAAUUAUAUAUUCAUGCUCGCGGGUGAAUGGGGGAUCAGAUUUUGGUCCAAACCUCGGGUUUUGACUAAGUGGAUCCGGGUUCAAUUUUUUGAAUUUUUGGGAAGAAUGAUUAGAAAGCUAUAAUUAGGCAUUGGAAUCGAAUUGUUUAGUGUUUAUUGAUGUUAUGAAGUCAAUUAUGUAUAGAUACGAUUGAUUUGGAGCCGAAUUCAAAAUGAAAAGCGGUGUUUGAGUCUUGAGUUGACCGUGAAAGGUCGGGGUAAGUGUUUGGUCUAACCUUAGCUUGAGGGAUUAGGAGUUGAGUCCUAUUUGUUAUCUGUUUCUUGUUGAGUACGACAUAUAGGCAUGAUGACGAGUGUCUAUAUAUUGGUGUGGAGCAUGAUCGCGAGUCUUAAAUUGAUACUUGUCGUAUUCUUAAAUGAUACUAUGGAUGCUUUAGUGGGUAAAUUCUUGACAUUAAGCAAAAACUUAGUUUUUUUGUGUGGAAUCUACUUAUGAUUGAGUAGUAGUGAUAACUAAGAUGAGUAGGAGUUGAGUUAAGAUUGGUUAUAGCCGAUUCUCCCUAAUCGGGAUGUAUAUACUUGUACUACUAAAUUUCCUUGCCGGGAUAGUGUUGUUAUUGUUGAUUCCUUUGCAGGGAUGAUUUUUAUGGUUAUUGUUGACUAUAUACUUGAAACUAGUUGCGCAUCCCAACAUUUUUAUUAUACAUGGAUCAGAUUGUAAGCCGCAACAUUAUUAUAUAUGGAUCGGGUUGCAUGCUGCAACAAUAUUAUGUUGGAUCAGAUUGCACACCGCAACAAAUGUUGUAUUGGAUCGGGUUGCACGCCACAACAGCUAUAUAGAUGGAUUGGGUUUCACGUCGCAAUAUUAUUAUAUAUGGAUCAGGUUGCAUGCCGCAACAAUGUGAUGUUGGACCAGGUUGCACGCCGAAAUAAAUAUUAUAUUGGAUCGGUUGCAUGCCGCAACCGUUAUAUAGAUGGAUCAGGUUACACGUCGUAACAAUGUUAAAUGACAAGGGAUCGGGUUGCAUGCUGCAACAGUAGUAUUACUUUUUUGUGGUAGAUAUUGUACCGUCCUUUCUGAUUUCUAUUUAGUUUCUGCUAGAUUUGAUAUGCUCCCUGAAGCAUGUACCCCCUCCUGUUUAAACUACUUAUUCCUAUUUAUUUCCUGCCAUAUAUUAUAUAACUGCACAAGUUUAUCUAGAUUCUGGUUCUAGCCUCGUCACUACUUUGCCAGGGUUAGGCCAUAGUUACCAGCACAUGGGAUCGGUCAUGUUGAUGCUGCACUCUGUACUCUGUACAGAUACCGGAGAAGCAUUGGGAUAGUACCUUGGGAGCCAGCCUUCAGUUUACCGAGAUUCCGAGGUAGUCCUGCAGGCGUCCGUAGGUCGGACGACUCUUAUAUCUACUAUUAUGUUCUGUUUUCACUUGUAUCCAAGACAGACUGAGUUUCUUUUCUUCAGACAUUUGUAUGUAGUAAUCAUAGACAGUCCGUAAAUGUUAUGAUACCGGUUUUUUGGGUAGAGACAUAUGUUGGCUAUUCGUAUCGAUUUUGGUAUUAUAUUUGUCUAAGUCUUCCGAUAUUAUUUUACUGUUUACCACCUGUUGCUACAAGUAUUUAAAAGUAUUAAAAAUGAAAGUUUAAAGAUUUCAAAAUUUGUGGCUUGCCUAGCUUCUACGAGUAGGCACCACCAUGACUCCCGAGAGUGAGAAAUUUGGGUCAUGACAAGUUAAUAUCAGAGCUCUAGGUUACAUCGGUGUCACAAAUCACAGACAAGCUAGUAGAGUCUGAGGAAGAGUAUGAGACUUGGGCGUAUGCCUGGAAUCGAAUUCCGAUAUCCCAAGCCCAAGAAAUGAAUUUUUAAAAAAAAUUAUUUAUCGGAAUUGUUUAAAGGAAUUUGAAAGGAAAUUUGAUUAGAACAUGAUGGUGUCGGUCCCUUAUUCUAGUUUCAGUGCCCGGUUCAGGUCUUACAUAUGAUUUAAGACGAUUCUGUGAAAUUUGGUGAAAGACGAAUGUCAUUUGACGUGAUUUAGACCUAAAUGGCAAAAGUUGAGGUUUAAGAAGUUUUGAAAUAUUUCAUUAAUUUUGAGGUUUCAUUCAUUUUUAAAGGUGUUAUUUUGGAGAUUCGAUCGCACGCUCUAGGUUUCAUAUGAUAUUAUUGAGUUAGUGCGUGCAUUUGGUUAGGAGCCCCGAGGGAUCGGGUGUGUUUCGGAUGUGUUUCUGGAGGUUUUUGGGCUUAAGAAAUGUUGGAGAUUUUGCUAUUCAGUGCAUAGGGAAUUUGCUCUUCACGUUCGCGUUGUCCCACUCGUAUAAGGAAAAAAUCCCAAGUGCCAAUUUUCUUCUUCGGGAACACAAAGCCUGAGACGCGAACGCGAGGAUGAGAGGGGGGAGUACCCUUCGCGAACGCAUCCAGGUACUCGCGAACGCUUAAGGUAAUGGGCCCGGGGAGGGAAUUCUCAGUUAUUGUACGUGAUCGUGGCCAUUGGUCCACGAACGUGAGGGCUCGAGAGGUUAAAGCUCCGCGAAUGCGAAGGUCUUCUGGCUUGACUCAUUAUGAGCGCGAUGAGCCUGUUGCAAUCGUGAUGGAUAAAUUAGCCAAGUUUUUUUUAAGUCUCAAAAACAUAUCAAAUACGGGAUUUUCAUAAAAUUUCGUAAACCUCUUAUUCUCCAAAGCUGUUAGGAGAUUUUUGAAGCAUUUCCUCACCAUAAUAUGUUGGGUUAGUAAUCUUUAACUUAUUUGCUUCCAAUUUUAUCAACUCCUACUAGAUUUCUAGUCCUGAAUCAUGAGAUUAAGGUAGAAAAUUAGGGAUUUGGGUAGAGUUAGGGCUUUUGCUUUGAUUGUGAUUUAGAUCUCGUUUUGGGGACAAAUUAUGGAACUAAUUAUAUAUUCUGGCUCGUGGGUGAAUGGAGGAUCAGAUUUUGGUCCGAACCUCGCGUUUUGACUAAGUGGGUCGGGGGUUAAUUUUUGGAUUUUUGGGAAGAAUGAUUAGAACGCUAUAAUUAGGCAUUGGAAUCGAAUUGUUUAACGUUUAUUGAUGUUAUGAAGUCAAUUAUGUAUAGAUACGAUUGAUUUGGAGCCUAAUACGAAAGGAAAAGCGGUGUUUGAGGCUUGAGUUUACCGUGAAAGUUCGGGGUAAGUGUUUGGUCUAACCUUAGCUUGAGGUAUUAGGAGUUGAGUCCUAUUUUCUAUCUGUUUCUUGUUGAGUAUGACAUAUAUGCAUGUUGACGAGUGUCUAUAUUGGUGUGGAGCAUGAUCGUGAGUCCUAAAUUGACACUUGUCGUAUUCUUAAAUGAUACUAUGGAUGCUUUAGUGGGUAAAUUCUUGACAAUAAGCAAAAACUUAGUUUUUUUUCAUGGAAUCUACUUAUGAUUGAGUAAUAGUGAUAACUAAGAUGAGUAGCAGUUGAGUUAAGAUUGGUUAUAGCUGAUUCUCCCUUGGCGGGAUGUAUAUACUUGUACUGCUAAUUUCCCUUGCCGAGAUAGUGUAGUUAUUAUUGAUUCCCUUACCGGGAUGAUUAUUAUAAUUAUUGUUGACUAUAUAUUUGAAACUAGUUGUGCAUCGCAACAUUUUUAUUAUAUAUGGAUCAGAUUGUACGCUGCAACACUAUUAUAUAUGGAUCGGGUUGCAUGUUGUAACAAUAUUAUGUUGGAUCGGGUUGCACACCACAACAAAUAUUGUAUUGGAUCGGGUUGCACGCUACGACAGUUAUAUUGAUGGAUCGGGUUGCACGUUGCAACAUUAUUAUAUAUGGAUCAGGUUGCACGCCACAACAAUGUUAUGUUGGACCAGGUUGCACGCUGCAAUAAAUAUUAUAUUGGAUCGGGUUGCCUGCCGCAACAGCUAUGUAGAUGGAUCAGGUUACACGCCGCAACAAUGUUAAAUGAUAAGGGAUCGUUGCGCUCGUAUUACUUUUUUGUGGUAGAUAUUGUACCAUCCUUUCUGAUUUCUAUUUAGUUUCUGCUAGAUUUGAUAUGCUCCUUGAAGCAUGUACCCCCUCCUAUUUAAACUACUUAUUCCUGUUUAUUUUCCGCGAUAUAUUAUAUAACUGCACUGGUUUAUCUAGAUUCUGGUCCUAGCCUCGUCACUAAGCUAGACACUUUUUUCAGCACAUGGGAUCAUUUUUUUUAUGCUUCACUAUGUACAGAUACCGGAGCAGCAUUGGGACAGUAGCUUGGGAGCCAGCCUUCAUUUUACCGAGAUUCCGAGGUAGACCUGCAGGCGUCUGUAGGCCGGGAGACUCUUCUAUCUACUAUUAUGUUCUGUUUUCACUUGUAUCCGAGACACACUGAGUUUCUUUCUUUCAGACAUUUGUAUGUAGUAAUCAUAGACAGUCCUUGAAUGUUGAUUCCCUUGCCGGGAUGAUUAUUAUGAUUAUUGUUGACUAUAUAUUUGAAACUAGUUGCGCAUCACAACACUUUUUUUAUAUAUGGAUCGGAUUGUAUGCCAUAAUAUUAUUAUAUAUGGAUCGGGUUGCAUGCUGCAACAAUUUUAUGUUUGAUCGGGUUGCACACCGCAACAAAUAUUAUAUUGGAUCGAGUUGCACGCCACAACAGUUAUAUAGAUGGAUCGGGUUGCACGUCACAACAUUAUUAUAUAUGGAUCAUGUUGUAUGCCGCAAAAAUGUUAUGUUGGACUAGGUUGCACACCACAAUAAGUAUUAUAUUGGAUCGGGUUGCAUGCCACGACAGUUAUAUAGAUGGAUCAGGUUACAUGCCGCAACAAUGUUAAAUUAUAAGGGAUCGGGUUGCGUGCCACAACAAUAGUAUUACUUUUUUUGUUGUAGAUAUUGUACCAUCCUUUCAGAUUUCUAUUUGGUUUCUGCAAGAUUUGAUAUGUUCCCUGAAUCAUGUACACCUCCCGUUUAAACUGCAUAUUCCUAUUUAUUUUCCGCCAUAUAUUAUAUAACUGCACAGGUUUAUCUAGAGUUUGGUCCUAGCCUCGUCACUACUUCGCCGAGAUUAGGCCAGACACUUAUCAGCAGAUGGGAUCGGUUGUGUUGAUGUUGCACUCUGUACAGAUACCAGAGCAGCAUUGGGACAGUAGCUUGGGAGCCAGCCUUCAGUUUACCGAGAUUCUGAGGUAGUCCUGCAGGCGUUCGUAGGCCGGGCGACUCUUCUAUCUACUAUUAUGUUUUGCUUUCACUUGUAUCCGAGACAGACUGAGUUUCUUUCUUUCAGAAAUUUAUAUGUAGUAAUCAUAGACAGUCCGUGAAUGUUGUGACACUGCUUUUCUGGGUAGAGACAUAUAUUGGCUAUUCGUAUCGAUUUUGGUAUUAUAUUGGUCUAAGUCUUCCGCUUAAUUUUCGUCUUCCGCUAUUAUUUUACUGUUUACACCUGCUGCUACAAGUAGUUAAAAGUAUUAUAAAUGAAAAGGUUAAAGAUUUAAAAAUUUUGUGGCUUGCCUAGCUUCUACGAGUAGACACCAUCACGACUCCCGAGAGUGAGAAAUUCGGGUCGUGACAAGUUGGUAUCAAAGCUCUAGGUUACAUAAGUCACAUAAUUCAUAGACAAGCUUAAUAGAGUCUGACAAAGAUAUGGGACUUCGGCGUAUGCCUGGAAUCGUAUUCCGAUAUCCCAAGCCCGAGAAAUGAAUUUUUUUUUAAAAAUAUUUCUGGAAUUGUUUAAAGGAAUUUGAAAUGAAAUUUGAUUAGAACAUGAUGGUAUCGUGCCUGUAUUCUGGUUUUGGUGCCCGGUACAUGUCUUAUAGAUGAUUUAAGACGAUCCUAUGAAAUUUGGUGAAAAACAGAUGCCAUUUGACGUGAUUUAGACCUAAACGGAAAAAGUUGAGGUUUAAGAAGUUUUGAAAUAUUUCAUUGAUUUUGAGGUUUCAUUCCUUUUUGAUGGUGUUGUUUUGGUAAUUUGAUCGCACGGUUUAGUUCAUAUGAUACUAUUGAGUUAGUACGAGCAUUUGGUUAAGAGCCCCGAGGGCUCGGGUGUGUUUCAGAUGUGUUUCAGGAGGUUUUUGGACUUAAGAAAUGUUGUAGAUUUUGCUAUUCUGUGCAUAGAUAAUUUGUUCUUCGCAUUCGCGUGGUCCCACUCGUAUAUGGCAAAAUCCCAAGUGCCAGUUUUCUUCUUCGCGAACACGAAGCCUGAGACGCGAACGUGGGGCUGGGAGGGGGGAGUACCCUUCGCGAACGCAUCCAGGUACUCGUGAACGCGUAAGGUAAUGGGCCCAGGGAGGGAGUUGUCAGUUAUUCUAGGUGAUCGUGGCCAUUGGUCUGAGAACGCGAGGGCCCGAGGCGUUAAAGCUCCGCGAGUGCGAAGGUCUUCAGGCUUGACUCAUCAUGAGCGCGAUGAGCCUGUUGCAAACUUGAUGGGUAAAUUCGCCCAGUUCUUUUAAGUCUCAAAUAAUAUCACUUGUGGGAUUUUCAUAAAAUUUCAUUAACCUUUUCUUCUCCAAAGCUCUUAGGCAUUUUUGAAGCAUUUCCUCACCAUAAUUUCUUAGGUAUGUAAUCUUUAACUUGUUUGCUUCCAUUUUAUCAACACCCACUAGAUUUCUAGGCCUAAAACAUGAGAUUAAGGGUAGAAAAUUAGGGAUUUGGGUAGAGUUAGGGCUUUUGAUUUAAUUAUGAUUUAGAUCUCGUUUUGGGGACAAAUUCUGGAACUAAUUAUAUAUUCGGGCUAGUGGGUGAAUGGGGGAUUAGAUUUUGGUCCGAACCUCGUGUUUUGACUAUGUGUGUUCGGGGUUAAUUUUUGGAUUUUUGGGAAGAAUGAAUAGAAAGCUAUAAUUAGGCAUUGGAAUCGAAUUGUUUAGCGUUUAUUGAUAUUAUGAAGUCAAUUUUAUAUAUAUAUAUNNNNNNNNNNNNNNNNNNNNNNNNNNNNNNNNNNNNNNNNNNNNNNNNNNNNNNNNNNNNNNNNNNNNNNNNNNNNNNNNNNNNNNNNNNNNNNNNNNNNNNNNNNNNNNNNNNNNNNNNNNNNNNNNNNNNNNNNNNNNNNNNNNNNNNNNNNNNNNNNNNNNNNNNNNNNNNNNNNNNNNNNNNNNNNNNNNNNNNNNNNNNNNNNNNNNNNNNNNNNNNNNNNNNNNNNNNNNNNNNNNNNNNNNNNNNNNNNNNNNNNNNNNNNNNNNNNNNNNNNNNNNNNNNNNNNNNNNNNNNNNNNNNNNNNNNNNNNNNNNNNNNNNNNNNNNNNNNNNNNNNNNNNNNNNNNNNNNNNNNNNNNNNNNNNNNNNNNNNNNNNNNNNNNNNNNNNNNNNNNNNNNNNNNNNNNNNNNNNNNNNNNNNNNNNNNNNNNNNNNNNNNNNNNNNNNNNNNNNNNNNNNNNNNNNNNNNNNNNNNNNUAUAUAUAUAUAUAUAUAUUUAUGCCACUGAUUUGAAGCCGAAUUCGAAAGGAAAACUGGUGUUUGAGGCUUGAGUUGACCGUGAAAGUUCGGGGUAAAUGUUUCGUCUAACCUUAGCUUGAGGUAUUAGGUGUUGAGUCCUAUUUGCUAUCUGUUUCUUGUUGAGUACGACGUAUAAGUAUGUUGACGAGUGUCUAUAUAUUGGUGUGGAGCAUGACCGCGAGUCUUAAAUUGAUAUUUGUCGUAUUCUUAAAUGAUACUAUGGAUGCUUUAGUGGGUAAAUUCUUGACAUUAAGCAAAUACUUAGUUUAUUUCCGUGGAAUCUACUUAUGAUUAAGUAAUGGUGAUAAGUAAGAUGAGUAGGAGUUGAGUUAAGAUUAGUUAUAGCUGAUUCUCCCUUGCCGAGAUGUAUAUACUUGUACUGCUAAAUUCCCUUGCCGGGAUAGUGUAAUUAUUGUUGAUUCCCUUGCCGAGAUGAUAAUUAUGAUUAGUGUUGACUAUAUACUUGAAACUAGUUCCGCAUCGCAACAUUUUUAUUAUAUAUGGAUCGGAUUGUGCGCCGCAACAUUAAUAUAUAUGGACCUGGUUGCAUGCUAAAACAAUAUUAUGUUGGAUCGGGUUGCACACCGCAACAAAUACUGUAUUGGAUCGGGUUGCGCACCACAACAGUUAUAUUGAUGGAUUGGGUUGCACGUCGCAACAAUAUUUUAUAUGGAUCGUGUUGCAUGCCGCAACAAUGUUAUGUUGGACCAGGUUUCACGCUGCAAUAAAUAUUAUAUUAGAUCGAGUUGCAUGCUGCAACAGUUAUAUAGGUGGAUCAGGUUACACGCCACAACAAUGUUAAAUGAUAAGGGAUCGGGUUGCGUGCCGCAGCAGUAGUAUUACUUUUUUGUUGUAGAUAUUGUACCAUCCUUUCUGAUUUCUACUUAGUUUCUUCUAGAUUUGAUAUGUUCCCUGAAGCAUGUACCCCCUCCCAUUUAAACUGCUUAUUCCUUUUAUUUUCCGCCAUAUAUUAUUUAACUACACAGGUUUAUCUAGAGACUGGUCCUAGCCUCGUCACUACAUUGCCGGGGUUAGGCAAGACACUUACCAGCACAUGGGAUCGGUUGUGUUGAUAAUACACUCUGCACUCUUUACAGAUACCGGAGCAGCAUUGGAACAGUAGCUUCGGAGCCAGCCUUCAGUUUACCGAGAUUCUGAGGUAGUCUUGAAGGCGUCCGUAGGCUGUGCGUCUCUUCUAUCUACUAUUAUGUUCUGUUAUCACUUGUAUCCGAGACAGACUGAGUUUCUUUAUAUUAGACAUUUGUAUGUAGUAAUCAUAGACAGUCUGUGAAUGUUGUGACACCGAUUUUUUAGGUAGAGACAUAUGUUGGAUAUUCGUAUUUUGGUAUUAUAUUUGUCUAAGUCUUCCGCUUAAAGAUUUUCUUCCUCUAUUAUUUUACUGUUUACCACCUGUUGCUACAAGUAGUUAAAAGUAUUCAAAAUGAAAAGGUUAAAGAUUUCAAAAUAUUGUGGCUUGCCUAGCUUCUACGAGUAGGCACCAUCACGACUCCCGAGGGUGAGAAAUUUAUGUCGUGACAAGUUGGUAUUAGAGCUUAAGGUUACAUAGGUCUCACAAUUCACAGACAAGUUUAGUAAAGUUUGUGGGAUUGGUAUGAAGACGUCUAUAAUUAUUCCCUAGAGGCUACAGAUUUAGGAAAACUUCACAUUGUUCGUUCUUAUCAUGCAGAUUGGUUUCUCAAUACUAAUUGAAUUUCUACUAUGUUCUUUCGUAGAUGGCGAGAACACGCACUUCCUCAUCUACCGAUAAGCAGCUUGAGCCCCUAGCAGCAGCUCCCACGAGGGGCAGAGGGCGAGGCCGAGGCAGGGGCAGAGCUCAGCCCAAGGCAGCAUCACCCGUAGCGGAGCCUCUAGUUGGCUUUGAUGACGAGGUUCCGACCCCAACAGUUUUAGUGGGCCCAGCUCAGGUCCCAGAGGGGUUUAUUGCUACUCCAGUUCUUCAGGAUGCUCUGGCACAUCUAGUGGGCCUUAUGGAAAGUGCUUUCGGGGCAGGCUUACUUCCUGUAGCACCAGCCGUCUCUCAGGCUGGAGAGGAGCCCAGACUCCUACUACUCGCACUUUGGAACAUGUAACUCCUCAGUUUCAAACUCCAGCGGCUCAACCAGUUGGAGUAGUUCAGCCGGGUAUGGUAGCUCUGACCGAUGAAGGGGCAACUAUGUCUGUCGAUGCUUUGUAGAGAUUAUAUAGGUUCACCAAGCUCUUCACUACUGCUUUCAGCGGUGCAUCUACUAAGGAUCCCUAGGAUUAUCUAGACAGCUGUCACGAGGUUCUUUGGAAUAUGGGGAUACUUGAGACAAACUUGGUUGAUUUUGCCACAUUUCGCUUGUCUGGAUCCUCUAAGACUUGGUUGAGGGAUUAUUGCAUAGCAAGACCAGCAGGAUCGCUAGCCUUGACCUGGGAGCAGUUCACACUGCUAUUUUUGGAGAAUGUUCUCCCUUUCACGCAACGAGAGGCCUAUUAGAGUCAGUUUGAGCGCCUCCAGCAAGGAUCUAUAAUUGUCACCCAGUACGAGACUAGAUUCAUUGAUUUGGCUCGCUAUGUUCUUAUCAUACUUCCCACUAAGAGGGAGAGAGUGGGACAAUUUAUUGAUGGACUAGUUUAGCCGAUUCGUCUCCAGACGGGUAGAGAGACUAGGUGUGAGAUAUCCUUCUAGGAGGCAGCUAAUGUGGCUCGGAGAGUUGAGAUGGUACUAUCACAAGAGGGUGGUCAUGGGGCAGACAAGAGACCCCGUCAUUCGGGCAGAUUCAUUGGUACCUCGUCUGGAGGUAGAGAUUUGUUUGGUAGAGGCCAUCCUCCUAGGCCUUUUCAGUUAGCACUCCAAGUUUUGCACGACGCUUCAGGUGGCUGUGGUUCUUACAUGCAGUAUUCUGGUCAUCAUCCCUACAGUUCACCACCAGCUCCUAUCACUGCAUCGCCACUCCAAAGUUUUCGAGGUGGUCAUUCAGGUCGCCAGGGUCAGUCUCAGCUUCCUAAGCCGCAACAUUCAGGUGGACGUUAUGAGUGUGGUGAGUAUGGUCAUAUCUAGAGGGCUUGUUCAAGGUUGGUGGGUACUCAGUCGUAGCAGCAGGGUUCCCGUGCUAUGGUUUAGGCACCAAGUGUUCUAUAGACCGAGCAGCCAACUAGAGGUGGGGGUAAAGGUGCUAGAGGUGGAGGUAGAGGAUUUAGAGGUGGAGCUCAGACCGUCAAUGGUGGAGGCCAGCGAGCUGCAAGCCAUCCCAAAGAUGUAGUCCAAGGUGGUGGGGACCAGCCCCGAUGUUAUGCUCUUCCAGUCAAGCCCGAGGCUGAGGCUUCAGAUGCAGUUAUCACCGGUACAAUUCCGGUUUGUGAUAGAGAUGCUUCAAUGUUAUUUGAUCUAAGGUCUACUACUCGUAUAUGUCAUCUUAUUUUGCACCGUAUCUGGUCAUGCCUAGUGAUUCCUUGAGUGUCCCUAUAUGUGUGUCUACACCAAUGGGCGAUUAUAUUUUGGUAGACCGAGUCCAUCGUUCUUGUAUUAUGGUUAUUGGAGACCUUGAGACUCGUGUAGAUUUGUUGCUUCUGGACAUGGUUGAUUUUGAUGUUAUAUUGGGGAUGGACAGGUUAUCACCUUACCACGAUAUUUUGGACUGUCAUGCCAAGACUGUGGCCUUAGCCGUAUCGAGUUUGCCUCAUUAUAGUGGAGAGGAAAUCCUAGUCAUUUUACCUUUAGUGUUAUCUUGUAUGUGAAGGCUCGGCGUAUAGUCGAGAAGGGGUGUUUGGCCUAUUUGGCAUAUGUUUGUAAUUCUAAUGUCGAGGUUCCUUCUAUUGAUUCUAUGCCCGUUAUUCAUGAGUUUCCUGAGGUAUUCCCUUCAAACCUUCCGGGUAUGCCGCCCGAUAGGGAUAUUGACUUUUGCAUUGAUUUGGCUUCGGGCACAUAUCCCAUUUCUAUCCCGUUGUAUCGUAUGGCCCCACCUGAGUUGAAAGAGUUAAAGGAGUAGUUGCAAGACUUGCUUGAAAAAGGUUUUAUUAGACCCAGUGUUUCGCCUUGGGGUGCGCUGGUGUUGUUUGUUAUAAAGAAGGAUGGGUCAAUGAGAAUGUGUAUUGAUUACCGGCAAUUGAGCAAGGUUACAAUCAAGAAUAAGUAUCCGCUGUCGAGGAUUGAUGAUUUGUUCGAUCAGCUUCAGGGUGCCAAGGUAUUUUCAAAGAUUGACUUGAGAUUUGGCUACCAUUAGUUGAGGAUUAGGACAUCCGAUGUCCCUAAGACAGCCUUUCGCGCUUCAUACGGGCAUUAUGAGUUCUUGGUUAUGUCAUUCGGGUUGACAAAUGCCCCAACAGCUUUCAUGGAUUUUAUGAACCGAGUGUUCAGGCCUUAUUUGGAUUCAUUCACGAUAGUCUUCAUUAAUGAUAUAUUAAUAUAUUCCCGCAGCGAGGCGGAGGACGAGCAACACCUUAGAGUGAUUCUUCAGACUCUAAAGGAUAGUCAAUUAUAUGCAAAGUUCUCGAAGUGUGAGUUUUGGUUAAGUUCAAUUGCAUUUCUGGGUCAUGUUGUAUCAACAUAGGGUAUUUAGGUUGAUCCGAAGAAGAUUGAGGCAGUCAAGAACUGGCCUAGACCAGCAUUAGCUACAGAGAUUCGUAUUUUCUUGGAUUGGCAGGCUACUAUCGUCUGUUCGUAGAGGGGUUCUCAUCUGUCGCAACCCCGAUGACUAGGUUGACCUAGAAGGGUGACCAGUUUAGAUGGUCGGAUGAGUGUGAGGCGAUCUUUCAGAAGCUUAAGAUAACUCUGACUACGGCACCAGUGUUGGUUUUACCUACAGGUUCAUGUCCUUAUACAGCUUAUUGCGAUGCUUAUCCUAUUGGACUUGGUGUAGUGUUGAUGCAGGAUGGCAAGGUCAUUGCCUAUGAUUCACGGCAGUUAAAGCUUCAUGAGAAUAAUUACCCGGUUCAUGAUUUGGAGUUGGCAGCCAUUGUUCACACAUUGAAGAUUUGGAGGCACUAUCUGUAUGGCGUGGCAUAUAAGGUAUUCACGGAUCACAAGAGUCUUCGGUAUUUUUUAUAGCAAAAGGAGUUGAAUUUGAGACAGAGAAGGUGGUUGGAGUUGUUGAAAGAUUAUGAUAACACCAUAUUUUAUCAUCCCGGAAAGACCAAUGUGGUGGCCUAUGCCUUGAGUAGUAAGUCAACCAGUAUGGCAGUCUUGCUUAUAUUCCGAUCGGUGAGAGACCGUUCCGAUCGGUGAGAGACCGCUUGCUUUGGAUGUUCAGGCUUUGGCCAAUCAAUUCAUGAGGUUAGAUGUUUUUGAGCCUAGUCAUAUGAUAGCUUGCACGGUCUCUCAUUCUUCUUUAUUGGAGCGUAUCCGUGAUCAGUAGUAUGAUGAUCCCCAUUUGUGUGUCCUUAGAGACACGGUGCAGAGCAGAGGUGACAAGUAGGUUACCUUAGAUGAUGAUGGAGUUUUGAAAUUGCAGGUUCGAGUAUGUGUGCCUAAUGUGGAUAGACUUCGGGAGUUGAUUUUUGAGGAGGCCCAUAAUUCUCGCUACUCUAUUCAUCCGGGCGUCGCGAAGAUAUAUCAGGAUUUGCGGCAACAUUAGUGGUAUCAGAGAAUGAAGAAGGAUAUUGUUGCAUAUUUAGCUCAGUGUUUGAAAUGUCAGCAGGUUAACUACGAGCAUCAGAGGCGUGGUGGUUUAUUUUAGAAGAUUGAGCUUCCCGAGUGGAAGUGGGAGCGGAUCAUUAUAGGUUUUGUUAUUGGGCUCCCACAAACUCGGAAGAAGUUCGACACAGUAUAGGUCAUUGUUGAUAGGCUGACCAAGUCAACACAUUUCAUUCCUAUGGCAGUCUCCUAUUCUUCUGAGAGGUUAGUUGAGAUCUAUAUUCGGGAGAUUGUUCGUCUUCAUAAUGUUCCUGUGUCUAUCAUUUCGGACUGAGGUACGCAAUUUACCUCGCGUUUAUACAGAGCAGUUCAUCCAGAGUUGGGAACGCGGGUGAAGUUGAGUACAACAAUUUCAUCCUCAGACGGACGGGCAGUUCAGAUUUUUGAGGAUAUGCUCCGAGCUUGUGUCAUUGACUUUGGAGGCUCGUGGGACCGGUUUUUGCCUUUAGUGGAGUUUUCUUACAACAGCUACCGGUAGAGUAUCCACAUGGCUCCUUAUGAGGCUUUAUAUAGUAGGCGGUAUCGGUGUCUAGUAGGAUGGUUUGAACCGGGAGAGGCUCGUUGUUGGGUACGGAUCUGGUUCAGGAUGCCUUGGACAAGGUCAGGAUCAUUCAGGAUGGGCUUUGUACAGCUCGGACCAGGCAAAAGAGUUAUGUCGACCGCAAGGUUCACAAUUUAGCUUUCAUGGUUGGUGAGUGGGUAUUUCUUCGAGUGUCGCCUAUGAAGGGCUUGAUGAGAUUUGGGAAGAAGGACAUGGUUAGCCCUAGGUUCAUUUGUCCGUUCGGGAUUCUUGAUCGAGUGGGAGAGGUGGCUAAUAGACUUGCAUCCGCUGAGCUUAUGAGCCGUGCAUCUAGUGUUUCAUGUGUCCAUGCUUUAGAAGUAUCACGGCAAUCCAUCCCAUGUGAUAGAUUUCAGCACUGUCCAGUUGGACAAGGAAUUAUCUUAUGAGGAGGAUCUAGUGGCUAUUCUAGACCGGUAGGUUCGUUUGUUGCGAUUGAAGAGUUUUCCUUCUAUUCGUGUUUAGUGGAGAGGUCAGCUUCCUGAGGCAUCGACCUGUGAGUCCGAGUCUGAUAUACGAGCCGUUAUCCCCAUCUUUUCCCUGACUCAGGUACUUUCUUCUUCUGUCCGUUCGGGGACGAAUGGUUGUUUUAGAGGUAGAGAAUGUGAUGACCCAAAAGGUCAACACUUGCAUUGAAAUUAAAUCUAUGUUUCAGAGGUCUUGAAAACCUCGUUUAGAGUCAGCUUGGUCUGCGUGCGUAGUCCGAACGCGUAGCUGAAAAGCUUAAAUAUGAAAAUUUGUGAAAAAUGAUAAAAUUUGGCUAUAAAAUAAGUUAAUUUGACUUCGCUCAACCUUUUGAGUAAAUGGACUCAGACCCGUAAUUUGAUGGUGGAAAAUAUGGGACUUGGGCAUAUGCCUAGAAUCGAAUUCCGAUAUCCCAAGCCCAAGAAAUGAUUUUUUUGAAGAAAAUUAUUUUCUGAAACUAUUUAAAGGAACUUGAAAUGAAAUUUGAUUAGAACAUGAUGAUAUCAUGCCCGUAUUUUGGUUCCGGCGCUCGGUACAUGUCUUAUAUAUAAUUUAAGACGAUCCUGUGAAAUUUGGUGAAAAACGGAUGUCAUUUGACGUGAUUUAGACCUAAAUGGCAAAAGUUGAGGUUUAAGAAGUUUUGAAAUAUUUCAUUUAUUUUGAUGUUUCAUUCAUUGUUAAUGGUGUUAUGUUGGCAAUUUGAUCGCAUGGUUAAGUUCAUAUGAUAUUAUUGAGUUAGUACGUGCAUUUGGUUAGGAGCCCCGAGGGCUCGGGUGUGUUUCGGGAGGUUUUUGGACUUAAGAAAUGCUGCAGAUUUUGCUAUUCAGUGCACAGGGAAUUUGUUCUUCGCAUUCUCGUGGUCCCACUCGUAUAAGGCAAAAAUCCCAAGUGCUAGUUUUCUUCUUCGCGAACACGAAGCCUGAGAUGCGAACGCGAGGCUGAGGGGCGAGUACCCGUCGUGAAAUCGUCCAAGUACUCGCGAACGCAUAAGGCAAUGGUCAUGGGGAUGGAGUUCUCAAUUAUUCUACGCGAAUGCGACCGCUAGUUCGUGAAAGUGUGGGAUCGAGGGGUUAAAGCUCUACAAAUGCUAGCCAAUUGUCGUGAACCCGAAGGUCUUCAGGCUUGACUCAUCGCAAACGGGAUAAUCCUGUCAUGAACGCGAAGGAUAAAUUCUCCCAAUUAUUUUAAGUCUCAAAAAUAGAACACUUAUGGGAUUUUCAUAAACUUUCAUAAACCUCUUCUUCUCGAAAGAUUUUAGGCGAUUUUUGAAGCAUUUCCUCACCAUAAUCUCUUGAAUAAAUAAUCUUUAACUUGUUUUCUUCCAUUUUUAUCAACACCUACUAGAUUUCUAGGCGUAAACAUGAGAAUAAUGGUAGAAAAUUAGGGAUUUGGGUAGAAUUAGGGAUUUUGAUUUAAUUAAGUUUUAGACCUCGUUUUGGAGUCGAAUUCUGGAAUUAUUUAUAUAUUCAAGCUUGUGGGUGAAUGAGGGAUCGAAUUUUGGUUCGAACCUCGUGUGUUGACCGAGUGGACUCGGGGUCAAUUUUUGGAUAUUUGAGAAGAAUUAUUAGAAAGCUAUAAUUAGGCAUUGAAAUUGAAUUUUUAGUGUUUAUUGAUGUUAUAAAGUCGAUUAUGUAUUGAUACUAUUGAUUUGGCACCGAACACGAAAGGAAAGCCGGUGUUUGAGGCUUGAGUUGGUCGUGGAAGUUCGAGGUAAGUGUCCAUUCAAACGUUAGUUUGAGGGAUUAUGAGUUGAUUCCUAUUUGCUAUUUGUUUCUUGUUGAGUAUGACAUAUGAGCAUGGUAACGAGUAUCUAUAUGUCGGUGUCGAGCAUAUCCGUGAGUCUUAAAUUGAUACUUGUUGUAUUCUUAAAUGAUACUAUGGAUGCUUUAGUGGGUAAAUUAUUGACAUUGAGCAAAGACUCAAUUUAUUUUCGUGGAAUGUACUUAUGAUUGUAUAAUAGUGAUAAUUGAGAUGAAUAGGAGUUGAGUUAAAUUUAGUUACAGCUGAUUCUCCCUUGUUGGGAUGUAUAUACUUGUACUACUAAAUUUCAUUACUAGGAUAGUGUAGUUAUUGUUGUUUCCAUUACCGGGAUGAUUAUUAUGAUUGUUGUUGAUUUUAUAUUUGGAACGGGUUGCACGCCGCAAUAUUUUUAUUAUAUGUGUAGGGGGUUGCAAGCUACAACAUUAUUCUAUAUGGAUCAGGUUGCACACCGCAACAAUGUUAUGUUGGAUCGGGUUGCACGCUGUAACAAAUAUCAUAUUGGAUCGGAUUGCACGCCGCAAUAGUUAUAUAGAUGGAUCGGGUUGCAUGUCACAACAAUAUUAUGUUGGAUCCGAUUGCACGCCGCAACAAAUAUUAUAUUGGAUCGAGUUACACACCAUAACCGUUAUAUAUAUGGAUCGGGUUGCACGCCGCAAUAGUGUUAAAUGAUAAGGGAUCAGGUUGCGCGCCGCAACAGUAGUAUCACUAUUUUAUUGUAGAUAUUGUACUGUCCUUUCAUAUUUCCAUUUAGUUUCUGUUAGACUUGAAAUGUUCCCCGAAGCAUGUACCCCCUCCCAUUUAAACUGCUUAUUCCUGUUUAUUUUCCAUCAUAUAUUAUAUAACUGCAUAUAUUUAUCCGGAGUCAGGUCCUAGCCUCGUCACUACUUCACCGGGGCUAGGCCAGACACUUACCAACACAUGAGGUCGGUUGUGCUGAUGCUACACUUUGCACUCUGUGCAGAUACCGGAGCAACAUUUGUACACUAGCUUAGGAGCUAGCCUUCAGUCCAUCGAGAUACCGAGGUAAUCCUGCAGGCGUCCGCAAUCCCGGCGUCUCUUCUAUCUACUAUUAUGUUCUAUUAUCUCUUGUAUCCGAGACAGACUAAAUUUCUUUCUCUCAGACAUUUGUAUGUAGUAAUCAUAGAUAGUCCAUGAAUUUUGUGACACUGGUUUUAAGGGUAGAGACAUAUAUUGGCUAUUCGUAUCGAUUUUGGUAUUAUAGUUGUCUAAGUCUUCUGCUAUUAUUUUACUGUUUACCACCCGUUGCUACAAGUAGUUAAAAGUAUAAAAAAUGAAAGGUUAAAGAUUUCUAAUUUUGUGGCUUGCCUAGCUUCUACGAGUAGGUACCAUCACGACUCCCGAGGGUGAGAAAUUCGGAUCGUGAUAAUAGUACUCUCCCAAUAUCAAAUGAGUUCUUCAAGGUUAUUGUUAUCAUCAUUUUAGAUUUAUCUUUGUGCAUAAUUAUUCGUUAUCAUCCACAACUCUUCAAGCUUUUUUGAAGGACUCAAAGUUUAAUAUAUUUACCAAAUUAAAUAUAGGAACCUAAGAAAAAAAGAAAUAAAGUAGAGGCACAUACUUCACUUGCAAAAAGUUAGGGUAAGGAGCUGUAUAUUACCAAAAAGGAUUUGAAAGUAUCUUAAUUUAAUGGAAAUAUACUUUAGUAUAUGAAAUAAUAAAUAGCAAAUAUAAGGACGUAUUUGAAAGAGCAAACCUUUUUGAUUAGCAAACUAACAAGAUAGUUACAAGUAACUAAGGACUAUAAAACUUUUUGCAUUGUCCUUUAUAUAUAGUAGUAAAGUAUAUGAAGUAAUAAAUAGUAAAUACAAGGGCAUAUUUGAAAGAACAAACCCUUUUGAUUGGCAAACUAACAAGAUAGUUACAAUGUAACUAAGGACUACAAAACGUUUUACAUUGUCGUUUAUAUAUAGUAGUAAUAUAGAGGAUUUUCAGAAACCAUUAUUAUUUAGUGGCUAUUAACUUCCUAUAGCUACCAUAUACAUAAUUACUUCCUAUAGCUUCUAAUCAGUUGUUACGAUAGUGUAUUGGCUGUAUUUGCGCCGAUGUAUUCAUAAAUACAGUAGCAAAAAAUACCUAAAAAUCAGGGUAGUCCAAUUGUACGCGCAUGUAUUCACAUGUAUUCACGCCAUAUAUUCAUGAAUACAACAACAAAAAGUACUUAUAAUCGGGAUAGUCCAGCUAUACACAUAUGCAUUCACAUGUAUUCACGCUAUUGUAUUCAUGAAUACAACGGUAAAACUGCCUAAAGUCAGGACAGUCUAGUUGUACGCGCAUGUAUUCACAUAUAUUUGCGCCACGUAUUUAUGAAUACAACAGCGAAAAGUGCCUAAAAUCAGGACAUUCCAGCUAUACGCGCAUGUAUUCACAUAUAUUCACGCUAUUGUAUUCAUGAAUACAGCAGUAAAAAGUGCCUAAAAUCAUGGCAGUCCAGCUGUACGCGCAUGUAUUCAUGAAUACAGCAGCAAAAAGUACCUAAAAUCGGGGCAGUCUAGUUGUACGCGCAUGUAUUCGUAUUUGUUAUAUUCAUCAAUACAACAAUAAAAAACACCUAAAAUCAAGAAAGUCCAGCUGUACAUGCAUUUAUUCACAUGUAUUCACGUCAUGUAUUCAUGAAUACUGUAACGGCAAUCACUUUAAAAAUAGGUAUGUCUAGCUGUUUAAGAGAGGAAAAACAUAAAUAGCGUGUUUCAUGUCUCAAUGGUAGUAUAUACCAUAAAUCCUUAUUUUGUUAUAAAAUAUAAAAGGUAGCUAUAGAAAAUAAUAUUUUUAAAUAAUUUUGAUAUAUAAUAAAUAGGAUUGUAUCUUUGCUAUAUUAGGUAAAAUUUCCGUAGUAUAUACUAGAUGUGGCCCGUGAACAACACGGUCCCAACAAUUUGAUCUGGAAUGUACUCAACCAAUGAUAAGAUAAAAAGUUUCUUCAGAUGCUAACAUAUGUUCUUCUCAAAGCCAACAAAUAAAUUCUGAAUAUCUAUACUUCACAACAGAAUAUGAUUCAUUUUUCCUUCAAAACAGCUCAUGUUCCUUUCAAGUCACAUUUCCCAUAUUAUACAUGAGGGAAUUUGUUCCCACGUCUUCUUCAAUAUUCUAUUCAUGCCUUGAACUUACAAACUGUCAAGCAGAUCCUUAAAAUUUUGUGGCAUCACCCAAAUUGAGUCCAUAUCAUCCAAGUGCUUGCAGUGCAGAAGCAAGUGGCUUACUGUUUCAGUGUCAUUCUCAAAAAAAGCAUCUACUGCAUAAGUUAUACCUCUCCUCUGCAAGUUAAGACAUGCACCAUGCACGGCAAUCCACUUAAAACAUACAACUUUAGAUGGAGCUUUAUUUAUCCACAUCUCCCAAAGCCAGUGAAUUUCAUAAUCACCAGUUUGGUUUUUCAGUACUUCAUAACACGAUUUCACAGAGAAAUUUCCAUCCCUGCUUGCUGAGCAUAACAUAGAUCUCAUUUGCCUUCUUCAAGUGCUAUAACAUAUAAUAGUUGCAUGAAAUCACUAACUUCAUCCAUGUCACUAAUUACAAGCCAAUGAUGAAAGAAGUAAGAUUCAAUUACAUGUAGGAAUGUGGUCAAGAUAGUCAUUGCUAAGAUAAAAAGUUUAUUCUUCAGAUGAACAUUAGUCAUUAGCUAAAGCCUGUGAUAAAAGAAGUACUUAUGAAUAUCUCAGGAAAUUAGAAUUCGAGUUAAGUUUUUGUUUAAAAUCUUUAAAUGCACUUGUCCAUCUUGAAAGAGAAAUGUUGUGAUCUUUUUAUCUUGCACAACUGGAGAAUGCAUAACACUCAUGUAGAACAGAUGGGAAAGAACUGUCAUGAUCCUAAGUUCAGACCCGAUCAUAUGGUACUUAUCGUGAAAAAAGACCAGCCGACACAAACAUUCAAUAAUAAUUAACAGUUAUUUAAUUCAUAAUUAAACCAUUAACAAGUGAUAAACCCCAGAAUACAGUGGAAUAGAACAAGUGCAAAAAUAAAUACAACCAAAUAUCGGGGUGUCACCAAUCAUGAGCAUCUAAAUACCCGUAUUAAGAGUAUAAAAGGGACUACACAGUCUAUUACAGAACUAACAUAGGGAAAGUAAGAUAAGAGGGAGAAGCACUUGGCUGCAAAAGAAGAGGAGCUACCUAGUGUACUCCGAACUGCCUGCUGGAAGCAAUCAUCACUCGCUAGCGGGACUCGAGGCUCCUCGAUCUGCACACAAGGUGCAUGGAGUAAAGUGACUACGCCAAAUUUGUGAGUAAUAAAAGUAAAAGCAGCCGAGCGAUAAGAAAAUACGUAAAACACAACAAUAUGCUGCAAGAGCCAGUAUAAAACCAGUUCAAUGCAAUAAAAUAGUGAAAGCUUGUAAAACACCUUAGUUCACUAUAAACUUCUUUAAAAAAUCUUUUAGCAGUUAAGCGAGAGAAUAAAAAACAGUGAGAAAAGAUAAACACAUAAAAUCAGCCCCUCGGGUAAAGUACCAACAGAAUCAGCCCUUCGGGCUAUCUCACAAUCACUCGUAGCCCCUCGGGCAAUAGCAUGGAAAAACAUCAGCCCCUCGGGCUAUAAUACAUCUCACACUGGGCACCCCCACUCACUGGGGUGUACAUACUCCAGGAGGGGCCUCUUACGGCUCAAGCGCAAUAUCAAGUUAUCUCGUGGCAUAAUAGGCUCUCGACCUCAUAUCAAGCCACCUUGUGGCGUACAACUCCGGUCCUCGGCCUCAUAAUCAUAGGUUAGAAUAACACUGCAACAACGUACAACCCAAUUCCAUAAUAACCUCACAACACAGGCCCUCGGCCCUACUCAGUCACAAAUCUCUAGAAGCCACUCGGGCAUAGUAAAAUAUAAUGCUCAUCACAAAAUACAAUUAAAGAUGUCAAAAUAGAUUAAACAUGGCUGAGUUAUGGAAACAACAGAACACAACAAGUCAGAGUACAAAUAUAAAAUCAAAACAGUGAGGAAAUAACAGUAAAAAUACCCUUAAGGAUACAAAACAAUCGACAGGAGGCCCUAAUAUGGCAUUCAGCCCAAAACAUGAUGAUAGCAAAUAGUUUUUAAUCAAAUAUGCUGUAAAACAGUCAUACGGAAUGGACUAGGUUACAAACCCCAAUGGUGCACGACCCCACGCUCAUCAUCUAAUGUGUGUGUCACCUCCAAAUAGCACAACGACAUGAAAUUUGAGGUUUCAUACCCUAGGACAAUAUUUACAAUCAUUAUUCACCUCUAUUCGGUCCAAACUCUAGCUCGCGAUGCCUUUUCCUUUCGAAACCGCCUCCGGAUGCUCCAAAUCUACCCAAAAUCAGUACAUAACCAUCAAAAUAUGCUAUGGGAACAAAGCCUACUCAAAAGUAAUCAAAUACCAUGCAAUUCCGAAAUUAAUCCAACCCGACCCCCGGGCCCAUGUCUCGAAACUUUAUAAUAUUUACAUUAAUAGUCUCCUUAUAUCCCCACGAGUUCAUACAUAUCAAAAUUACUAAAAUUCGACCACAAAUAACCCCUCAACCCUUGCGCAAAGGUCUCCAAUCUCAAGCCCUUGUUUCUUUAAUAUUUACCCACAAAUUUCCAUAAAUUUCAAGCCUAAUCAAUGAAAUAACAUCAUAGGAAUGAGUUUUAUAAUCAAAAUUCUUACCUCAACGAAGCUCCAUUUGAUUCUCUCUUCAAAAUCCCCCAAAAGCUCCAAAAUCGAUUUAAAAUGGUGAAGAAAGGCUAAAAUCACGAAGGAAAUAUUUGUAUACUUUCUGACCUAGGCUUUUCAAACAUACGGUCCUUCUUCGACUUUUGCGGUCCCUCUUCUGCGGUCUUGCCCUCUGCUCCUGCGGUUAUCACUUAAUUGCCCAAAGUCACAUCUCGAUCACAUACUCGCACAUGCGCUAUCAUAGGUGCACUCAACACACCGCAUCUGCGGCUCCUGUCGCUCACAUCCUUUACCGCGUUUUCAGUCUUUUCUACGAAUCUGUGGCAUCGCACUUGCGGUCUCCAAUACGCAGGUGCAGAAACAACAAAAGCAUAAAAAAUUCUGCAACUUCUCCAAAACUCCAAACUCUCCGUCAACCAUCUGAAAUCACCCCGAGGCCCCAUCUCAACCAAAAGUACGAACAAGUCAUAUACUACUAUUCAAACUUAUACCAAUCUUCAAAACACAUCAAACAACAUCAAAUCAACAAAAACACAUUGAAUUCAAGCCUAAGGUUCCAAAAAUCUUUUGAAUUACGCUUUUGAUAAAAAAUUCUAUCAAACCACGUUCAUAUUACUUGAAAUUUUGCACACACUUCCCAAAUGACACAACGAAAUUCCAUUCUGGCCCCUAGCCCCUGUAUCAAAAUAUCACCUAUCAACCGAAAAAUGAGUAAAUCCCAAUUUUGCCAAUUCAAGGCUAAAUCUACUACGAACCUCAAAAACACAUUCCAAUCAUACUCCUAAGUCCAAAUUAUCUCCCGAAGCUAUCCAAACCAUCAUAAUUCACAUUCGAGCCCUUUUUCAUAUUAAGCUAAAUCAAAAGAGACUAAGUAUCUCAAACCUGACCAAAACUAUUCCGGAUUUGAACCGACUAACCCGAUACCACAUAACACAUAUAAACAAAGCAUAAAGAAGUAGAAAUGGGGGAAAAAAGCAGUAACUCAUGAAAUAGUUGGUCGGGUCGUUACAAGAACUCAACUUAACUAUCUGGAGAAUAUUCCAUAUAUGUUUAAGAAGCAACUUACCAUUGAUAUUAUUUAUGGAAAUUAUCAAAUUCAGUAAAUUAUCAUAUAUAUAUAUAUAUAUAUAUAUAUAUAUAUAUAUANNNNNNNNNNNNNNNNNNNNNNNNNNNNNNNNNNNNNNNNNNNNNNNNNNNNNNNNNNNNNNNNNNNNNNNNNNNNNNNNNNNNNNNNNNNNNNNNNNNNNNNNNNNNNNNNNNNNNNNNNNNNNNNNNNNNNNNNNNNNNNNNNNNNNNNNNNNNNNNNNNNNNNNNNNNNNNNNNNNNNNNNNNNNNNNNNNNNNNNNNNNNNNNNNNNNNNNNNNNNNNNNNNNNNNNNNNNNNNNNNNNNNNNNNNNNNNNNNNNNNNNNNNNNNNNNNNNNNNNNNNNNNNNNNNNNNNNNNNNNNNNNNNNNNNNNNNNNNUAUAUAUAUAUAUAUAUAUAUAUAUAUAUUGUGUCUGCGUGUGUGUGUGUACAAUAGAGGGGUUUGACUUACAGUUUUAAGCUCCUGCUAAUAGUUGAGAGCUAUAUAAGCAAGCUUUUCUUAUAUCACAGUCAAGGAUCCUGUCAACACACGAUAACAACUAUGACUAACUUAUUGUUGGUACAAUUAGUCUAUUAUCGACUUAUAAUAAACAUGAUUGGAAGUGAUUACUCAAGCUACUUCUUCUUUUUCUUCUUCUUCUUAUGGUAUUAGAACAUUGAUUGGGAGACUCUUCAUCAUUUGAAUGAACUUCUUGAAUUAAUUCUUAUCAUUUGGCUUGCAAAUCUUUGAGGUAUGGAGGAGUAGGCUUAGGCAAUGGUGCCUAAGCCUUUCACACUAUCAGUUCAGGUAUAUCAAUAAUGUGAUCCCUAGACAGUUUCACCUCCUAUUGAGUCUCUUCCACACUAUCAUCAAUAUCAAUUCAAACUUCCUAAUUAGGAUGUAUCACAUUGAUUGGUGUUUCCUCUCUUGCACCAUUUGUUCAUCAUCAAAAAGUUGCCUUUGACUUGUGGUGGGUGCAUUCCUACCUCUUUCACUUCUUGUGGUAACAACCACGGCAUGUCGCGUAUUGUUUCCACCCUUUUGGUUUACUAUCGUCUCACUUGGUAGCACAACCAUGGCAUGUCGCGUAUUGUUUCCACCCUUUUGGUUUACUAUCGUCUCACUUGGUAGUUCCCGCUUAGGACUAGUAUUUAAUGUUUGAGAGAUUUUCCCCAUUUGAACUUCUAGGUUGCUGAUUAAUGUUGUUGUGUGAGGCAAGUUGGCAUCCAAAUCAGCAUUCUUUUCCAUCAUUUGCUUCAUCAUAUUUUCAAUUUUCCCCAUCUUAUUGUUUGAUGAACUUGAACCAUGGGAAAGAUAAGGAGGGGGGUUGCUCGGUUUUUGAUACAUCGGGGGCCUUUGAAAACCUACCUCCCGGUUUCCUUGAUUGUUGUUUCAUCCGCCUUGAUUGUUACCCCAACCCCUCUAUUUCCUUGAUUGUUGUAGUUGUUCCAAUUCCCUUUAUUGUUGCCAACACUCCAAUUUUCUUGGUUAUUUGAAUUCCAAUUGCCUUGAUUGUUUUGAGGUCGCCAUUAUAGUUGGUGUGGGGCUUGGAAAUUACAUCUUUUCCCUUGAAAAUUAUUCACAUAUUUCACCUCCUCUUCUUGUUCAUUAUAGUAAUCAUUUUGCUCAAAACUACAAUCUUCUUGCACAUAGUUCUCCACUCGAUUUUGCACAUGUGGACCGUUGUCCCUCCUCUUGUUCACCUUCAUGUUCACUCCCUCCAUGGAAUUGACUUGCUUGGAUUUUACACUUGAUUUAAUUAGGCCUUUGCUAGUUGAGUCAUAGUGGUUGUCACUUUGGCAAUGGCUUGGCCAUGGUCUUGCAAUUAUUUGUGAAGGUAGAUCAUAUUUGGGUUACCUUAUAGAACAUUGGCCUAGGAUUUCCAAGCCGAUGACUUUUCCACCAUCUCAUCCAAAAUCUCACACGUCUCCGCAUAAGGCGUAAUCAUGAAAUUCUCACUAGCAAGUUGAUUCACUACACAUUGGUUAGUUGUGUUAAUCCCACGAUAGAAGGUUUUUUGAAUCAUGUUUUCCAUCAUAUCGUUGUUGGGACAUUCCUUGACCAUAAUUCUAUAGCACUCUCAUAUCUCGUGUAGUGGUUCAUUCAGCUUUUGCUUAAAUACCAAAAUCUCAUCUCGAAGUGUAGCCAUAUGUCCCGGAGAUAAGAACUUAGAAAUGAACUUUUCCGCCAACUCAUCCCAAGUGUGAAUUGAGUGGUUCAACAAUCAUUUCAACCCAUCUAAAGCAUCCGUCGGUAUAGAGAAGGGGAAACCUGGUAGAUACAUUUGAUGUUUAAAGUCUUGGGUAUAAACUGAAAGCUGAUAUAAAAUGAUCACCAUCAUCCUUUUCAAAAAUGUUCAGAUAAUCAGUCUUGUGUAUGAAUUUGAACUGAAAAGGCGUUAUCAAGACUUGUUCAUAUGAACUCCCCGUCCAAGUUAACUCUAGGCCUAGUUGAGAGGCCCAACAGUGGCUAGACACAGUGUGUGUUCUCAGCCAGCUCAAAUUUGAGUCCAGUAUGUGCAAUUAGCCAUGAAUGAGGCUAAAAGGCGUGUAUUGUUCCCUCGAAUACGCGGGCCAUAUAUAAAUAAUUACUGCAUUUAAACACUAGCUAUAGUAGAGAAUUUAGUAUACAUUAGAACAUCUUAAAAUAAGGGGAACCGCGUUAAUCCCAUCAAAUAUCAUUCGAUGUCUCCUUAGUUCAUCAAAACACAUAGAAAAUAGGAAGUGUCAUUUAGCGAAUUUCACGGUCUUCCCACAAAUCUCGAAGACGUAGUUGCUAUAGGUGCGCGUGUUUAAUAAAAAUACCUUCUUAAAUUCAGGUGCACAUUUAUGUGACCAAAAUCCUAUUCUCAAUGGAAUUAAAAUAUGUCUAAAAUUGUGGGUGCAUUUAUGUGACGCGAUUCUCAACGUGUUUUAAAAACAUUGAAAAUUUUCCUAAAAGAUGUUAAAAAUCUAAAAUUGCGGGUUAACAGGUAUAGCAAAUCAUAUUUUAGUCACUUAUAAUGAGUUUAAGCGACCGUACUAGAACCACUGGAUCGGAGGGUGCCUAACACCUUCCCUCGGGUCAACAGAACUCCUUACUCAAGAAUUUCUGGUUCGCAGACUCCAAUUGGGUAGUCAAAAUUUCCUCGAUUUGGGAUUUCAAAUAAACCGGUGACUUGGGACACCAAAUGUCAAAUUUAUCCCAAGUGGCGACUCUUUUUCUUCUUCUUCUUAUGGUAUUAGAACAUUGAUUGGGAGACACUUCAUCAUUUGAAUGAACUUCUUGAAUUAAUUCUUAUCAUUUGGCUUGCAAAUCUUUGAGGUAUGGAGGAGUAGGCUUAGGCUUUGGUGCCUAAGCCUUUCACACUAUCAGUUCAGGUAUAUCAAUAAUGUGAUCCCUAGACAGUUUCACCUCCUAUUGAGUCUUCCACACUAUCAUCAAUAUCAAUUCAAACUUCCUAAUUAGGAUGUAUCACAUUGAUUGGUGUUUCCUCUCUUGCACCAUUUGUUCAUCAUCAAAAAGUUGCCUUUGACUUGUGGUGGGUGCAUUCCUACCUCUUUCACUUCUUGUGGUAACAACCACGGCAUGUCGCGUAUUGUUUCCACCCUUUUGGUUUACUAUCGUCUCACUUGGUAGUUCCCCCUUAGGACUAGUAUUUAAUGUUUGAGAGAUUUUCCCCAUUUGAACUUCUAGGUUGCAGAUUAAUGUUGUUGUGUGAGGCAAGUUGGGCAUCCAAAUCAGCAUUCUUUUCCAUCAUUUGCUUCAUCAUAUUUUCAAUUUUCCCCAUCUUAUUGUUUGAUGAACUUGAACCAUGGGAAAGAUAAGGAGGGGGGUUGCUCGGUUUUUGAUACAUCGGGGGCCUUUGAAAACCUACCUCCCGGUUUCCUUGAUUGUUGUUUCAUCCGCCUUGAUAGGUUGUUCGGUUGUUGGUACAUCGGGGGCCUUUGAAAACCUACCUCCCGGUUUCCUUGAUUGUUGUUUCAUCCGCCUUGAUUGUUGCCCCAACCCCUCUAUUUCCUUGAUUGUUGUAGUUGUUCCAAUUCCCUUUAUUGUUGCCAACACUCCAAUUUUCUUGAUUAUUUGAAUUCCAAUUGCCUUGAUUGUUUUGAGGUCGCCAUUAUUGUUGGUGUGGGGCUUGGAAAUUAUAUCUUUUCCCUUGAAAAUUAUUCACAUAUUUCACCUCCUCUUCUUGUUCAUUAUAGUAAUCAUUUUGCUCAAAACUACAAUCUUCUUGCACGUAGUUCUCCACUCGAUUUUGCACAUGUGGACCGUUGUCCCUCCUCUUGUUCACCUUCAUGUUCACUCCCUCCAUGGAAUUGACUUGCUUGGAUUUUACACUUGAUUUAAUUAGGCCUUUGCUAGUUGAGUCAUAGUGGUUGUCACUUUGGCAAUGGCUUGGCCAUGGUCUUGCAAUUAUUUGUGAAGGUAGAUCAUAUUUGGGUUACCUUAUAGAACAUUGGCCUAGGAUUUCCAAGCCGAUGACGUUUCCACCAUCUCAUCUAAAAUCUCACACGUCUCCGCAUAAGGCGUAAUCAUGAAAUUCUCACUAGCAAGUUGAUUCACUACACAUUGGUUAGUUGUGUUAAUCCCACGAUAGAAGGUUUUUUGAAUCAUGUUUUCCAUCAUAUCGUUGUUGGGACAUUCCUUGACCAUAAUUCUAUAGCACUCUCAUAUCUCGUGUAGUGGUUCAUUCAGCUUUUGCUUAAAUACCAAAAUCUCAUCUCGAAGUGUAGCCAUAUGUCCCGGAGAUAAGAACUUAGAAAUGAACUUUUCCGCCAACUCAUCCCAAGUGUGAAUUGAGUGGUUCAACAAUCAUUUCAACCAUCUAAAGCAUCCGCCGGUAUAGAGAAGGGGAAACCUGGUAGAUACAUUUGAUGUUUAAAGUCUUGGGUAUAAACUGAAAGCUGAUAUAAAAUGAUCACCAUCAUCCUUUUCAAAAAUGUUCAGAUAAUCAGUCUUGUGUAUGAAUUUGAACUGAAAAGGCGUUAUCAAGACUUGUUCAUAUGAACUCCCCGUCCAAGUUAACUCUAGGCCCAGUUGAGAGGCCCAACAGUGGCUAGACACAGUGUGUGUUCUCAGCAACUUGUUCAUAUGGACUCCCCGUCCAAGUUAACUCUAGGCCCAGUUGAGAGGCCCAACAGUGGCUAGACACAGUGUGUGUUCUCAGCCAGCUCAAAUUUGAGUCCAGUAUGUGCAAUUAGCCAUGAAUGAGGCUAAGAGGCGUGUAUUGUUCCCUCGAAUACGCGGGCCAUACAUAAAUAAUUACUGCAUUUAAACACUAGCUAUAGUAGAGAAUUUAGUAUACAUUAGAACAUCUUAAAAUAAGGGGAACCGCGUUAAUCCCAUCAAAUAUCAUUCGAUGUCUCCUUAGUUCAUCAAACACAUAGAAAAUAGGAAGUGUCGUUUAGCGAAUUUCACGGUCUUCUCACAAAUCUCGAAGACGUAGUUGCUAUAGGCGCGCGUGUUUAAUAAAAAUACCUUCUUAAAUUCAAGUGCACAUUUAUGUGACCAAAAUCCUAUUCUCAAUGGAACUAAAAUAUGUCUAAAAUUGUGGGUGCAUUUAUGUGACGCGAUUCUCAACGUGUUUUAAAAACAUUGAAAAUUUUCCUAAAAGAUGUUAAAAGCGGUUAAUAAUCUAAAAUUGCGGGUUAACAGGUAUAGCAAAUCAUAUUUUAGCCACUUAUAAUGAGUUUAAGCGACCGUACUAGAACCACUGGAUCGGAGGGUGCCUAACACCUUCCCUCGGGUCAACAGAACUCCUUACUCAAGAAUUUCUGGUUCGCAGACUCCAAUUGGGUAGUCAAAAUUUCCUCGAUUUGGGAUUUCAAAUAAACCGGUGACUUGGGACACCAAAUGUCAAAUUUAUCCCAAGUGGCGACUCUUGAAAUGAAUAAUUAAUCCCACAUCGAAUAAUGUCAGUUUAUUUGGAAAAAAUCCUAUGCACGUGUCACCUUUCAGGGUAACCACGUGUAAGCGGUAAAAAAAGAGGUGUGACAGGGCCUAAGGAAGGGGAUUGGCCCAGGCCUUGACAAAUUUGUGUGGUUUGGUUCAAGCUACCGAGUUAAUUUGACUCGUUCAUGGUUGGAUGGGUAAUAACAUGUUUCUGAAAGGGCAGUUUAGGAAAUUGGGGCAAGAAAUCUGGUGGCAACAUAAAUAGGAAACUUCUGAGAAGCUGACUUUGGGGUUGUUUUGAAAUUCUAAAAAGUAAAUAAGGUUUUCUGAGCUAAAACAGAAAUUAGAAAGGGGCAAGGUAUAAAUUUGAACCCUUUUGUAUGUUGCCCUACUUCCUUGCCUAUAAAGGCACUCUACAUUGUUAUUCAAGUGAGAGUUUCAAGAGAUAGAUAAUUCUGAAAAAAAACACAAACGGCUGAAAAAUUAAAGUGAAAUUACUGUUUCAUUGAAACUCCUUUUGUGAUUUCUUAAGUUUCCAAUUCCUGAAAAUAUUUUCUGAUUAAUCUAGAUUCAAAAUGGAUUUAAAUUGGGUGUUUGAGGUUUGGUUUUGAAGUUACUGUGGUUAUUGUUCGAGUGACACUAUCUUUUAUUGUUUUCACAAUCAUCUUGGUUUGAACUUGUGUUUCUAGUGCUGGCUUGCUACUAUUAUACUGUCGAGUCCUCAUUUUUUCUAUUUUGUUUUCGAGUUCCAGGUACAUUUUUCUGAGCUUUGCUUUGAUGUAAAUUUUAGCUGGAAGAUGGGAAUGAGAAGUUAAUGCAUUGCAGCAGACUUAUCUGAGUUUCAUUUAUUUAUUUUUAUUUAUUUUUUCCUUAGAUCGUAUGAAUCUUUGUUCAUUCUAGCUAAUUUGAGUUUUGAACAAUGGAUUCACAUAGUUGUACUUAAUUUGGGAUUGUUGAAGUGAUGGCAUUUUUGGUACGUUGUGAAUCGGACUUCGCCUUAGAUAAGAUGAUUGUCCAUGCUUGAUAAUGGUUUGUGUUCGAAAUAUUUUUUAAAUAGGCUAAGGGUAAUCAUGACCUUGUUUGAUAUAUUGUCAAAGGGCAGUGAGUGAUUUUAGUUUAAAAUAUGGUGUAGAAGUUGAAAUGCUUAUUCAGUAUGUUUAGAAGUGAAAAUUAAGGAAUGAGCAUGAUUUAGUUUUCAUGGCUUUCAAUAGUUGCAAACUGUUAUGGUCUCAUUGAUUAGCAUAUGAAUAUGUUUUAAAUAAAAUGGUUUAGAAAGGUUUUCAGUUAGUUCUAAUCAGUUUCUUGAUGCCCAGCAACUGUUAAUUUAAUCUGGUGGUUUUUCAAUGUCAAAUUUACAAAGCUACUGAUGUCUAAAAAUUCCUUUAUUGUCACACUGCCAAAUCUGAUUGCUUCUGCUAUUGUACAGGUUUCAUAUGGAAUCCCUGAAUGUCCAGCUUGUGUGUUACUUCGUACGAAUCAGGAUUAUAUUGGGCCUGACAUGAAACAACUUGCCCAGAAUCGGGAUAAGGUAUUAGGCAUCGGUUGGGCCUACUUGAUUUUGUUGGCCUAGUUCCCUUGCUUGAUAUUUUAUGGAUAUCAAUUUAACUUGGGUUUCUUAGAAUAAUAAAUAUUCUGAACUUCUAAAGUUGCCUCACUAUCAUAAUUAAUUAGACUUUCUAAAAUGAACUUGAGGUGUGCCAUAUUUAGCAACAAAUAUCUAUAGCCCUCAUGGUUAAGUCUAGAAAUUGGAAUUGAGGUGCGCUGCGCCAAAUAAAAUCUCAAAUACGUGGUCCUCAUUUAGUUACUUCUUUUAAAUCCUUAGAACUCGAGGCGUUCCAUUUAGAAAAUUUUCCACGGCCCUCGCAAAGUUAAAAAUGCGUAGUCGCUUUAGGCACGUUUUUAAUAAUAUUACCUUCCUAAACUCGGGUACGCAUUUCAUGUGACCCAAAUCACAAUGUUAAAUAAAAUGUGUCUCAGUCCGCAGGUGCAUUUCAUGUGGCGUGGUUCAAAAAUAUAUUUUAGAUAAUGUUGAAAUCUUCUUAAAAAUAAUUAAAAGCGGUUUUAAAGUUAAAAAUGUAUCAUGGACUAAAACAUGUAUUAAAUUAGAUAAUUGGUCAAUUAUAAUAGUUUAAGCGACCACGCUAGAACCACGGAAUACGGGGGUGCCUAACACAUUCCCUCGGGUUAACAUAAUUCUUUAUUCAGAAUUUUUGGUUUGUAGACUUCAAAAGGAAAGUCGAAAUCUUCCUCGAUUUGGGAUUAAAAAUAAACCGGUGACUUGGGACACCAGAAAACAAACCUACUAGUGGCGACUCUGAAUUGAAUAAAUAAUCCCAUUUUGAAUAGUGCAAGUUAAAUUGGAAAAACUCCCUUAUACACUAUCCUUCGGGGUUGGUGUAUUGUAAAAAUGAGGUGUGAUAGCUGGCCAUUAGGGUUUUGAGGUCUUUUUAUUCACUAUGUAUGAAGUUGUUCAUAAUACGUUUGAGACUUUGAGUUCCUAUUUUCUGGUUUCAUUUCUACAUGCUUCAAUUAGAAUUAAUUGCCUUAGGAUUCAAUCUUAUUGCCUAUUUGACUCUUAUUUGACUUAACUGAAGAUUUUGCCUCUUCUACCGUUAUGGUAUCUUUUCACAACCGUUUAACUUUAAUUGAAAUUAUUACUAUCUCAUCCUAUAAUUUUUAGUCUUAAUUGGAGCUAUGAUAUCUUCUGUUGCAUACCAUUAUUUGAAUUGUUGAAUAUCUUUUGCAAAUUGCUCAACCUUAAAAGGAGUUUAGAUAACAUAUAUCUUAGUUGACUUGACUUUAUUUAGGACUAUUGGACUCGUGUUGACUUCCUAAUUGUUGACUUGUAUAUUGUGGGAUCGUUUCUAUAUAGUUGUCUUCCCUUGUUGAACUGUUCCCUUUAUGCCUAGUAUUCUUUACUGUGAUUAUUCCUUGUGAACUGGUUCUACCGUUUCUUUGUGAUUUAAAGUUUUUGAGUUGAUUUACUCGGCAUACUUUGUAUUAUUGUCAUUUUUAAUGUUGCACUUGUUGUGGUGAUGUAUAAGGUUUAUGUUGUGCUAUAGCUAUUAUUUCUAUUGGUUGCGCUGCAUAUUUACUUUGGGGCUACAGGACGGUAUCCCCAUAGGGUUGUUUUACAUAUUUACUUUGGGACUACAAAAAGGUAUUCCGGUAUAUCCGUUGCACGUUUACGUUUGGGAAUAUGGGAAGAUAUACCAAUAAAUCUCCUUGUUCUGCAUAUUUACUUUGGGACUACAAAACGAUAUUCCGAUAGAUCUCCCAACACAUUUACAUUCGGGACUACAGGGUAGUAUACUGGGAUAUCCCAUGUUAUUAUCAUUGUGUUCAGAACUGUGCUUUUAAUUGAUCAUAUCCCUAUGCAAAUAUUCUACGUGUUGUCCGUUCUUUUCUUUAUGCUUACUUGCUGGUAUGAACUAUAUUAGGAAACUUGCACAAGUAUACACGUGGAUAAGCACCCUUAUCGGAUAAAAGGCUUCUUGAUAUUGCUGAAUAUAGAGACACUCCCUUCUUUAUUUGCCUUCCAUGUGAGAAUGGCUCUAUUUGGCACGUGAGUUAUCGGUACGAUUCUGAGGUAUGAUGAGGGCACAUGAUGCCAAGUGUUAGGGUUCAGGUAUUGAGAUCUGUAUUGUAUGAUUAUGAGGAGAGGUGUCAUAAGGUGACUUAUAAUCGAAGGAUAUUUAUUCGGAAAGAUUAUAUUUGAAAGGUAUUUAUUUUGAAAGAACUAUUUUUGAAAAAUAUUUAUUUGAAAAAAGUAUAUUUUGAAAUAUUUUUAUCACUUGAAGGAUUUGACUAAUUGAAUGGAGUUUGUUGGCUAAGACCUAAUGUGAAAAUUGUCCUAGUUGCUAAAUUAUGACUUGCCUUUACUGUGUUCGGAUUCGGAUUUGGGUUGUAUUUUCGUUCACUCUUCUGUAUUCUUAUUAUGGUGUUCCGCUGUUACUUGAGAUUUUCUUUCCUUAUUGCAAUUACUGUAUUGUUAUCCGCAUCACGUAUUCUUUAUAUAGAUGUCAUGUUAUGCUGUUUCUAUUCUUAUGCUUGUUCAAUUUAUUAGACUAGUAGGUGUCUUGACUAUUCCUCAUCACUACUCCACCAAGGUUAGUCUUGAUACUUACUAGGCACCACUGUGGUGUGCUCAUACUACACUUCUACAUAUGUUUUGUGCAGAUUCAGGUAUUGUUUGUUAGUAGCUGUGCAGAUGAUUCUUGCCGAAGAGACUCAAGGUAACCCUGCUGCUGCGUUCACAGGCUUCGGAGUUCCCUUUCUAUUUUGUAUUCACAAUGUUGUAUUUAUUUCCAUACAGUAAUGUUUAGAAUUUGUAGUGAAACUCUUUAGAGCUUAUGACUUAUACUACCAGUUUUGAGAAUUUGUAAGUUUUGUG